GCCCGUCUGCCCCCUCCGACUAAUCCUUUGGUCGUUCGUAAUGUGGUUCUCGCGACAGCGUUAGCCCUGGAUUGCAUCAAUGCAAACCCGAAAUGUCGACCAACAAUGCAGCAAGUGGUGAACCGAUUUGAAGAGGGCAGGCGAGAACCAACUAGGCCUUUGCACACCAUUGCUGUGAAUCAGCUUGUUAGUCCACCAGUACUUUCACUGCGUGACCAAACCUGCGCAGAUGGGACGAGUAGCUUAAGCACCAUAAAUGAAUUCCAUGUGGAUGUCUCUGCGACUCUGCCAUCAUCCAAUUUUUCUGUCCAUGCUUCUACCUAAACAACUUUGACAUUUGGUAGGAAACAGAAUAAGAUCGUGCUUUGCAAAAUGGAAACUUGGCCAAGCACUUAGAUUGCUGCUACAUACUGCCAUUUGGUGUGCUAAUGACAAAAAAAGGUGUGCUAAUUAAUGAAGAAGUAGUUUAAGCACCAUGAAUGACUCUCAAGUGGAUAUCUCUGCCAUAUCCAAUUUUUCUAUCGAUGUUUCUACCUACCUAUGAUAUUUAUAGCGAAGGAGAAUUUACUACUUGUCUUUAUUUAUGUAGGUGAAUUCUAGGCAGAGCAACACUUACCAAUCUAACAAUUUGCAAUUCCAAGUCUAGAUUUAAAGAAAUAUUGGUUUAAGGAUUCAAAUAUACAAAACUCAUGCCAAAAAUGAGAUGAUCAGGUCAAUCCAAAGUUGUAUUUAAAAAAAAAUAAAUUUGCAUAAAUUCUAGCUUGCAUAACCUAUAGGGAUAAUUUUAGAAACCUCCCUUGAAAUUUUUGACAAUUGCAGAGACCUCCCCUCAAGUUUAUUAAAUUACACCUACCUCCCUUGCUUUUACUAUUUAUGUAACAAUAUAGGCCCAAAAGACUAUAUUUUUUCUCAAAAAUUCUAAACUACCCUUUUUGUACAAAAAUAAAACAAAAAUUAUGUUGCCAAUUGCUUUCUUUCAUAUUUCAACCAAACCCAGUGUACUAACAAACUAACCUAACAAAUAGUCUAAUUCCAAAUUCUAAACCCAAGUAAUUCCAUCAUCAUAGUCAUACAAUUACUUCUCCUAAAGCAUGCAUUCAAUUUUGAAGAUUCGUUCCAUUUUUCAAAAAUAUUCUCACCAUAUGGUUAUGACAAGUGCCAAACCUGUGCAAUAAUAAUUAUUAAAAAGUCCUAAUUACUACCACAAUUAAUUAUAGAACAAAUCCAAGUACUGGAGCAGGGAACCUAGGUGUGCAAUGGGUUACUUGAUUCACCCUAUUCCCGAAGAGUUUGCUUGAUCCGAUAUACCAGAUUUGUCUAUAAAAAUAUUAACUUUGCGUACAAUGGCAAGUAGGGUCGAUUCCACAGGGAGCGGGUAGGAAAUUAUUCUUUCCAAAUUAGUAGAACGGAAUUGGGGGAUUUUCAAUGGGAGGCAAAUAAAAAUGAAAUAAAACAACAAAAUUCAAAACUAACUCACAAAGCACAAAUUUACUAAAAAUAGCAAUUAAUAGAAGUUCUACCCAAAGGAUCAACUGCUCAGGCACGGUCCAAUUAAAUGAUCAUUGAUGCAAAGAUAUUUCACCCAUUCAUCACUAGGUUGGUUAUAGUUGUCAACAAGGUCUGACAACCAGUUCUUCCUUACUUUCUCGACAGUCAAGGUACGACCAUUGACUGCUUCUCUAACCAGAUAACAACCCUAGGUACGACCAUAGGAAUUUAAUUACCCAAUUGCAUUAAAGGUAGAAGAACCCAACCCUAACUAAUAAACACGCUAAGAGGGUUUAUUUAAAUUAGAUCUUACGUUUCCCCAACAUAAAGCCAAUUAUGGUGGUUGUCACUAGGUAUCAACUAAACGAACAAUUACGGAUUCAAUUUAGUUAAUGUGACAGUAGGCUAUUAAAUUAAAUCAAAUACCCGGCCGUUGAUAUUUAAUUAAUAAAAUACCCAUGAACAAUUAAUUCAGGAAACGCACGAAUAGUAAUAAUUUGGAAGAAAUAAAGAAGAUUCGAUUAGAUCUCACAGACAUUGUGGAUCGCGCCUUCGCGUCGACCUUUGGGUGGAGGAGAAAGCUAGCCGCUCCUCAUCGUGUCAAUCCCGCGUGAUUUAAUUGAAUUCAUUCAAUUAAUUUCUGAAGAAUUGGAAAGGUGAAACAACGAAGGAACAGUUCUUCGUAUUUUGCGUCUACGCUCGAGCCGCCAGCACAAGGGAAAUCUCACGAAAUUUAGAAGAGUCAAAAGUGAAAAGUGAAAAGGGUCUCGAUUGUACAGAGCCCAGAUGCAAUACGAAAAAUCUCCAAUGUCUGACCGCUAGCCGAAGAAGAAACAAAAGCAAAGAAAAGUGUCUAGCCAAAAAUUGCAAAAAGUAAAACUAAAGCUAAAAGAAGUGAUCCCCCCGAAUCUUGCUUUUUCCUCCUUUUUAUAGCCGCCGUCAGUAGUAUUCCUCCCAGGAAGAGGCUUUUGCCUAAGGGGCGCUGAUCCCACGCUUCAGGUUCACGUGGACCGGGGUCCGUCUUUUCGGUAGCAUCUACCUUUUCUGGCGUGGCCACGCCCUGAGAUGAAAGGUCUUCUGGAAAUUUACCUCAAGAUAUCAUUUUUAAUGCUAACCACCUACAAUUCACACAAACAUCAAAUAUGAGUGAAAUUCCAUUUCUUAACACCAUGAAUAGCCAAAAUUAGGACAAGAUGACAAUGCAAAAUAUUCCAAAUAACUGCUCUAUCAGGUUAUAUGGAAUGGUCAAAUUCACAAUCAACUGCCUUAUGUUUGCAUAAUUUUCAACAUAGAAUGCCAUGGUUUGGUUCCAUGUAAGUGGUUUAACUCCUACUACAUGAGUCACAUUUUGGUCUUGAAGAAAAUCCUUAGGGAAGGUUUAGGCAUGGAUGGAAUUAAUCAAGUUUAAGAAAAGGAAAGGCAUCAUUAUGACUAUAGAGAUUUUCAAGAAAUUCAUUUUGCCAAAAAUCAAAAUUCUAUUUCCAAUUAAUCACCCCACAAACUUGAAACCCAAUGCCCACACCUUCUCAAAACAAAAUAAUUUAGCAUACUAUUAAAUCCCCAAACAUGUUAACAUUUUAAAUACAGAGAAGAAACUCUAUCUCCAUAACGAAACCACAACCAACAAUUGUCAAGAAUAAAAAGAAAGACAUCAUAAAAAGUUUUUUGGAUGGAUGAUAGAUAAGUUAGCAAAUUUAUCAAUUUCAAUCCCUCUUCCUCUUUUCGCCAAUGAUUGCAUUAUUUGUUCCAUUAUUAUUGUGUGUCUCUUCAUUUCCUUUUAAUUUGACCAUUUACUUCAAUCAUCAAAUCUAAUCUCUCAACUAAACUUGUGAUUUGACAUUUUUAAAGAGAAGAAAAGAGGAAUAGAAAUAUAUAAUAGAGUUUGAGGGAUCACUUGUGGUAUGAUUGGCUGCAAUUAUAGGCAAUGGUUGGUGGUAAUUUGAGAGCGAAUUAUUGGAAGAAAGGGUUGAUGGAUGAAAAUAGAAUGAUAAUAAGCGAGAGAAUCGUCGUUAGCUGUAACUUGUAAACAGGAUAGCAAAAAAGGUUAAGUUUCUUUUUCUUUUUUUUUUUUAAAUCUCAUUUCAUUAUACUAUGAAUUAUUUAUUAAGUGAAGGUCAUUAUAGUCAUAUUAUUGAGACAAGGGAGGUUAGUGUAAUUUGUAAAAAAACGAGAGGAGCCGAGUGAAAUUGUCAUAAACCUCAAGGGAGGUUUGUGAAAUUAUCCCUAACCUAUAACCAAAUUUAAAAUUCGAACUCUAAAUAUGUAGCAUGCAUUUGCCUUUACUAGUUAAAAGAGAAAAAGGGAUUUCACACUUAAGAAAUUAUUGAAACAUAAAUGAUGCAAACUUUCUUUUAAAAUAAUUUUUUAAUAUAAAUGUGCGAGUUUUUAUCAAUCUCUAGUUUGCCAAAUAAACAUAGAAUGAUUUUCAAUACGAAUUUAUUAUAUCACCUAUUAGUUUUAAUUCACUAAACUCAACCGCAAAAAAGAAAAAACAUAAACAGCAAUUUUCGAAAUGUGGAACCUAUAUUCAGCGGGCUACUAUUUUGGUGCUUAUGACCCCAUAAGUCGAUUGCUGCGAUUUUUUGCUUCCUCCUAGGAAGCCCCAAAAGAAGAAAAAAAAAAUGAGUUUCCCGGUUGCUCAUCAAUUGAGGAAAACGCUGGUGAUUCCUUUUUUUUUUUUUUUUUUUUUUUUUUUUUUUUUUUGAGGAAAAGGCUGGUGAUUCCUUAUUGCUUCCUGGAUUUUUAACCUAAAGUGUAUAAUAGCUUGAGAAAACGUUGUACUAUUAAAAGAAAUUCUGGACCACAUCAAGUACCCCAUAGUAUCCAAGUAAACAGCGAGUUGAUACGUGCAAGGAGGCAGGGGCGGUGGCUGUUGGGUUGGAGUGGAGUGGACAUUUGCGUUGGGUUAGUGGGCUUAAGUUGUUUACAGAAUGGUUGGUAAAAAAAAAAACUAUGGUUGGGUUUACAGAUGGUUGAUGAUAGUGUUAUACCCAGUAUUCCUGGUACGCAUUCAGAAUCUGCUUCUAAGAGUAGAACUGAUAAUUUGAGUAAUCUUGACCUUUCUUGAUAUGUGAACCAAGGAAUGCCUCUGCCUGGAUGUAUUGUUCACCAAGAAACCUAGUCUCAUGUUUCUGGCAGAUUGGAUGAUCAAAAUGGUUCUUGCAAAUAUACUUUUGGAAGAAAUUGGUGGCCACCUUCUGGUUCGUUUGCCGCCAACCAUCCAGUUUGACCUGCUUAUGGAAGAAGUUGGAGGCCAUGAUAAUUGAAUGCAGGAUCUGUAAACUGCUGUAAUGUAUAUAUUGCUCCUCAUAGUCGAAAUAGUGAUGCCUGCCUGCUGACAAAUUGACCAUAUUAGCUUUUGGAAUUUGAAUCUUGCGAGUCUGGAUUCUUUUCUGGUUGCUUGCAAGCUUCUUAACAUACAUUGCAGGAUUAUACUUCUUGUACAUGUAAAAAUUUUCAGGAGGUGCGAAAAAAGGCACUCGAGUUAUAAUUCUAUUUUAUAACAAAAAAUGCAAAAAUAAAUAAACAAUUAUUAUGUAGUUAGCCAAUUUGGCUUUUCUUUUCUUAGCUAGCUAUGUGUUCCAAAGCAAACAUUCUGGUAUAAAAAGCUAUAUGUGCAAGUAUUGCGCAUGAAUGGAAAUAUAGAAACAUAUUAGUAGAGGGCUAAUAGAAAGUUAAGUUAUGGUAUAGAUGUUAUGCACUUAUUAGGUUAGAUCCCAUCUCCCUUUAAUUUUUUUAUUAUUAGAAAAUGAUAAACAGUAUUAGCAGAUGUAGUUUUGUAAGUUCCAUAGAAAACCUUAGGGCUUCACACUGUUAUAAUUUUGUUAAAUUUUUGGACAAUUUUGCUCUCCCUUUACUCCCAUGACGGUGAAGUUUUACAAUUUUUCUUCCUAUCCAUCCCUUCACCCAUGAUCCGAUAUCACUACUCCAAAACCCAAACAUCCAAUACCAAUGCGAAUGCUUCACACUUUGGUAAAACUCUGGCAAAGGUAUCAGAGUUUCCAAACUUUGAACUCGAGCCAGGUGGUUUCAAUUGCUUCCUCAUUUCUGGCUUGAGAUUAGAUGAUCAAGCUAUACACAGUACACACCAAUUCUUAAAGAGCUUGGUACUCGAAGAAAUUCCGGAGAAGUUGAGAAGCAGAAACCAACCAUGAUAGUAAAGUGGGCAAGGGAAAGCCAUGCACACAUGCCCAUUGAUUGUCGACAAACCCUUAGUCAUCAUUUGGUUUUGAUUAGACAAAUAUGAACUCAGCAUUUGUUUCAUGUAAUGAUAGCCAUAAAGGAAUCUUGAAGGCUAGAAAGAUUUCUCGUGACUCUCUCAAAAGAAAGAAAGUUCUGAUGCUUCUUUUCUUUUUGGUCGUAACUUAGGUCAUUCUUGCUUUUAGUCUCCUAAACUGGCAAGCUAAGCCUUAAAUGCUAAAAUUUAUAACUAAUUCUUGUUUUAAAAUCUGCCCUUAGAAUUUAUUUACUCGAUCUUGGGAGGGGCUAAACUCUACAUCCUCCAUCUUAAGUCCGUAUUUGGAACAAUUUCUAAUAUUAAUGCUACAAAUUAUCUUUACUAACAGUACAAGCCAUUAAUGCAUUAAAGAGUACGUGAAUUUAGACUGUAGAGCCGUAGAAGUAUAGAUUUAGAUUUGAGAAGCACAAAGAGAAUAAUAAAUUAGAUUUGAGAAGCAUACGAGGAUGCUGGAGUUUGUUUUUAAACUAAAGUUUAGGAAAAAAAAAUGAAAGAAGAGGACAUGAAACAAAGUUGUUAGAUAUUAAGGGGAAGUUAAGUUUCCUCGGUGGGAAGAAAUUGUUAGAUAAAAGAUAUUUAAUAUUUUUUGUAAUGCCAGAAAGAAGAUGCCAUUUUUGCCUGUCGAACAAACAUCAUGUUAUUGGAGUAGAAAGAGACACUUUUAAACCAAAAUAUUACUGCUAAUUUUCUCCCAUUUCACGGUUCUCAAACAACAGAUAGGAAAGUUCUAAUAUUUCCUCUUUUCUUUUUUAUGGUAACUUAGGUCAUUCUUCCUUCUUUCGUUUUUAAUAACCUAAACUCACAAGCUAACCCUUAUCUGCUAAAAUUUACAAUUAAUUAUUUUGGAUAAAUUACAUUUUACCCCCUAUGAUUUAGCAUUUUUUACAUAACCCCCUAUGAUUUUAAAAAUUAUACAUAACCCCCUCAAGGUUUGGAUUGAAGUGUCAAAGUGACGGAAAUAGUCAUUCGUAACGGAACUUCUAAAAAUAUCGAAAUUACCCUUAUAAAUACAUGACACACUAACCCCCUCAUGGUUUAAUACUUUAUCAUAUAACUCCCUUAUAGUUUAAUACUUUACCAUAUAACCUCCUUAUAGUUUUUAAAAUAUACAUAUAACCCCCCUUGGUUAAUAAAUAAUUUUCAACUUUACAUAAGGAUAUUUUAGAUAUUUUAGAUUACUCCGUUACGAAUGAUCAUUUCCGUCACUUUGACACUUUAAUCCAAACCAUGAGGGGGUUAUGUAUAACUUUUGAAACAAUAGGAGGGUUAUGUAAAAAAAGCUAAACCACGUACAGGGGGUAAAAGUGGAAUUUGCCCAAUUAUUUUUUAAAAGCUGUGCUUAAUAUAUAUACUCCUUAGAAUGGAGAACCAUAAGAGGAUAAUGGAGUAUGUUUUUAAAUUGAAAAAGAAAAGGUUACGAGUAGUUUCCUUUUAAUUGUACCACAUUUGUUGAUUUUUGGCAAACCAUAUCAAUUCAUCAGUUGAAAUUCAAUUAGUAAAAUUCUCUGCUUGUUAAAAGUUCAAAGUAGUAAUGGAAGAUUUCUUGUAUGUAUAGUUUUUUCCCCUCUUGUUGAAGAUUGUCUAUAAUUCUUUUGCUUUAUAUAUAAGAACAGUCACUACAGUUAAUGGCAUUGAUAAGAACAACGUACACUUCAAGUUUGAAGACGGACCUUGACUCUCAAAAGUGGAAUCAACUAAUCCAGACUGCAUUGCGAGUCUUCAAGUUUGAGGGCCAGUGUGUUUAAUGGCAUUUCUAAGAAAUUCCACACAACAAUUCUAGUGGAAAACGGAUCUUUGGCUCUCAAAAGCGGAAUCAGAUCAAUUCCAAGUGCUCUCGUUUAACUCUCCAUAUGUAGUCUUUAAAUCCAGACUAUCUACGGGACUUGAGGCUUUCUGUUCCCUCAGGUAUUGUAAGGCUUGUAGUAUCGGUAAGGUUUUGAUCAUGGUUUGUAGGUUAACCAUGAGUUUAACUUGAAGCCAUGAUACCAAAAGAGAUUGUAGAAUCUCUCACAAUUAUAUCAGCAUAAGUUUACAAUGUGUUAUAGAUUUUCAGAAUAACUAAAUGUCUACAAUGAGUAGACCACUUUAUUCGAUGUUAAAACAAUUUAAAGAGGAAUUAUCUACAAUUUGUUUUUAAUUGCAAUAAUUAAAAGGUCAUCUAAUGGUAUAAACUAACAUAAUGAUUAAAACUAUGCAUAAAAAUUGUAUAAAAGUGCACAAUAAUAAAAAUUAUGCAUUGAGGGCUAGAUGUAUGGUUUCAUAUACGCAAUAGGCAAAUAAUGUAUACACAAUUUAACUAUCAAAUGAACGUUUAGUUAACUUGUAAUUCAUAAGGUUAAGAAAAGUUUAAUGUUAAGUGCAUAAGAUUUGUUAGAAACAAAAUAAAAAUAGCAUUGUGUAACAUAUUUUAUUUUAAUGCUGCAUUGGUGAUAACUGUAUAAAAUUUUAUACUCAAAUGUAUGCAUUCCAAAAGUGUCAAUUUUACAAUUCUUAGUAUAUAAUUAUGUUUUGAUCCACAGUAUUAUUAAAAAGUCUUUCAACACAAUAGAUGUAGUCCCGUUAAAAACGCGGGUUAAGAACUAGCUUAAAUAAAAGUUAAACCAUACAAGAGUAUUUCAUUUGAUAGGUUGGCUAGCCAGUGUCUAAGGGUACGCGUUAUUGAUUAAAAGGGUGUCUCAGCUGUUAAUAUGUUGACAAAAGUAAGUGACUGUGCAUUCAUCUUGUAAAUGCGAUUUAAAUGUUUUAACGAGUUUCGCCAUUCAUUAAAAAUCCUUAAUACAGUCAUCCUUGAGAGUGCAGCUCCCUUUAAAUUAAGAAAAGGAAGAACAAGACCUGGUCAAGAAACAAAAAAGUCUUCCACGUGUUUAAGCCCCGCAGAAAAGUCUUCUAAGAAAUUUUGCACAACAAUUGCAGUGAGCUUGACUCUCAAAUGUGAAAGCAAAUCAAGGCCAGAAAGACCGCGUUACAAGCCUUCCUUGGUCGCCCUAAGACGCAGACAGGAAAGACCUUGACUUUGGGCCAAAAUCUACCAGUUUAGUCGAAGUUGAAUUUAGUAUCUAUACCAGUUAAACGAAUAACCGUGUAAUUAAAUUGUCUAAAUUUUGUCAAGAAAAGAAUUAUUGACAAAAUAUCAAGAAAAGAAUUGCAUUUCGUGUUGCACAUUUUAAUUAAUUAUACUAACAAACAUUUAACUGUACACUUGUUGCCUUAGGUAUGCUAAAUCAUUACAGUUUAAACUCAAAUUAGUGUCUUAAUUAGUGUUCACAUGUACGCAAAUGCCAUGAACAAAGAUAUUUCAUGAAUUUGAUUGCCCAUAGAAGGCAAAAGAGAUUGAAAAAAAAAAAGGUUGCAUACCGGUAUUGAAUUACUGGCAUCAAAAUGUACUUUUAAGACCUGAAUAUUGCUCCCUUUCUGAGAUACAAUUAGAUACAAUUUGAUUUUUUUUAGAAAUCUGUCCUUAGAAUUUAUAAUUUACUCUUUAGCACAAAGAGCAAUAAUUAGAUUCGACAACCAUGUGAAGAUGAUGGAGUCUGUUUUUAAAAUUUUUUUUUUCAAAAAAAAAAAAAAAGGUUGUGACAGGUUGUCGAAGCCUGUGCAAUAAUAAAACCUGCUCAAACUAAAAGUGAUUUCUGUAGAUAGCGGUGAGCAGGGUCGAAUCCACAGGGACUGGGAGUAAUUAUUUCUUUUCAAGUUCACAGUGACAAGGGGGGUGUUUUUGUGCAGAAGGUGACAAUCAAAGAAAUUCAAAUAAAAUCUAAGAAACUACUAAAAAUUAAAUAACAAAUUACUAAAAUCUAAUGAGUGAUAAUUAAGGAUCUAGCCAAGGAAAAACUUCAGCAAUGGUUCACCUAAUUGAUCAUCGAUGCAAAGCCAAUUCCAAUUAUUUAUCAAUAAAUAGGUUAUAACUACUAAACAAGCGAUGGCAGCCAACCCCUCCUUACUGUGUCGGUGAUCAAGGUACGCCCGUUAAUCACUGCUCUAAUUGAGAAAUAAUCCUAGGUACGCCCGUAGAAUUUAAUUCCCCAAUUGCCUUACGUAUUAGAGGAGCCCUAUUCUAACCAAAUAACGCACUACCAGGGUUAUUUUAGAUUAGCCCGCGUAUUCCCCUGACACAAACCUAAUCAUGCCAGUUGUCACUAUUUUAGAGCAAUUAAACAAUUACGGAUUUAAUGCCCUAAUUGACAAUAGAUUAUCCAAUCAACUAAUUAUCUGGAUCCAAGACAAUUAAUUAAUUAAAUAAUCAUAAGCAUAGCAAUCAAGAAAUAUGCGAAUACCAAUAAAUAAAAGAAAAAGAUAAAAUUAGAUCGAUCUCACAAUUUUAGAUGACCCAAAGCAUCCGUUGUCCCUUGACUAGACAAAGGGAAUUAGUUCAUUUUCCGUGAACAAAUCCCACAGGAAAGUGAAGAAACGAUCCCAACCAUUAUUCUUGUUCACGAGACUUCACCUUGACCGACUGAAUAAAGAAAAGCUUGGAAAACAAUGAUUGAUUCAAUUCUUCAAAGAGUCCCUGUCAUGCGUGGACUGAAGCUUCCUAAGAGACAAAAGAAAGGUCAAAGCUCUCUAAGAAAGCUCCUCACCUACGUGAACUGGAGCUAAAGCUAAACACUAGUCUAACUACUACGCUACAGGACGAAAAGAGAAAAAGGUAAUGCCCUCUCUCUGCAAUUACAAUUUGCCUGUUCUAAUCCUUCGCUCUCCUGUGCGGCGGCUCCCCUUCCGGAGAGGAAGAAGAAGACCCCUGACUUCAGCCCUUCGUUCCUCUUUUUAAUGCUUUUGUCUUCGGCAAUUACUAAAAUGGGCACAAGUUUGCCUUUGCCAACAAUGCCCCUGGGAUAAGCUCUGUGCCUUAGACUUCUUUUCUAUCAAAUUGGCACUUGUUAUCAUAUUUUCGUUCUACUCCCUGAAAUAUAUGCCAAACACUAAAAAUGAGUAGAAUCCAGCAAUUAAUCCACAUCGGGUCAGGUAAUAGGGAAAAUUAAUAAUAAAAUAAAUGAUAAAAUUACACCCUAUCAGGUUGCGAAUAAUUUCUUUCCGAUUGAACCGCUUUUGGCAAAGGUUACCAAAUCUAGCUCUGAUUUUUUCUCAAAAGUGGAAUCAACUCAGGACCACAAAUGCUGCUGACUGCUCUGCAUUAAUUGCGAGUCUUCCAAAUUAAAAUGCUUUUAACAAUCCGUGUGAAUGAUGCAGAUUGGAAAGAUACUAUUUUAAGCGCGAGUUUUUCAAUCCUGACUACUUACUCAAGGCGGGCGCUUACAUUUCAUCUAUCUUAUCUUAAUUACCCUCUUUCAUGGUCAAUUACGGUCCCACUACUUAAAUUAUUUUUUAUUUAGGAGUCCAAUUCUAUCUGUCUUAUCUUAAUUACGGUCUUUCAUGGUUAAUUACGGUCCCACUACUUAAAUUGUUUUUUAUUUAGUAGAAUCGUAUACCUGUUAGGAGUCCAAUUCUAUCUUACAUUUCAUCUAUCUUAUCUUAGUUACGUUCUUUCAUGGUAAUAGAGCAUCGAUGGAUGUUGUAUGCAGCGGAGUUGUUCUUCUCAUGAUACUGGCUAUUGCACCAGUUGCAGUAGCAGCAGCAAAGGAGUCUGCCGUGAAUUUAUUGGAAGCUGAAGCAUUGCUCAAGAGUGGCUGGUGGCGAGGCAGUACUACUGCAACAAACGUCUCUGCCCAUUGCCAUUGGAAUGGUAUCGUUUGCAACGAUGCUGGUAGCGUUACCGAAAUACUACUUCCGGGCAGCGGAAUUUACGAUGAGUUGACAAAUUUCAGCUUCUCUUCUUUUCCGAACCUGGUUAGACUAGAUCUCAGCGAGAAUAAACUUCACGGCGCCAUCCCACAUCAAAUAGGUGCACUCUCCAAACUCACCCAUCUCAAUUUGUCUUUCAACAGAUUUGAAGGUGAGCUUCCCGUCUUCUCUAGUAAACCUUACGCAACUAGCACAGCUCGAUGUUUCUUGGAAUUCGAUUGACAGCUUAAUUCCUCCGGGUAUCGGAAACUUGACAAACUUGGUUGCUCUAGACUUGAGCCACGAUUUUUUUUUUGGUCCAAUCCCUCCAACUCUUGGCCACUUGUCCAAAUUAGCCUCUCUCGAUCUCAGUGGCAAUGGACUUAAGGAAGACAUCCCACAUCAAAUAGGUACACUUUUCAAACUCACCUAUCUCAAUUUGUCGAAUAAUUUUAUCGAAGGCUUUAUUCCCUCCUCCAUCGCAAACUUGACAAAUUUGGUUACUCUAGACCUGAACAACAAUUCUUUUUUUGGUCCCAUCCCAUCCAUCCUUGGCCAAUUGUCCAAUCUAGAUUUCCUGAACCUCAAUAUUAACCACUUCAGUGGGAUAAUCCCUCCAGCACUUUUUAAUUUGACAAAGCUUUCCCGGCUAUACAUUGGCAGGAAUCCCGCAAUAAGGGGAGUUCUCCUUGAAGAAAUAGGAAAUUUGAAGAUUUUACUUGAAUUAGACUUGAGUUACAAUGGUUUUUCUGGCAACAUCCCUCCAACCCUUGGCCAAUUAUCCAAUCUAGCCUCCAUUAACCUCAACAAUAACCACUUCAGUGGGACAAUUCCUUCAGCUCUUUUUAAUCUGACAAAUCUUUCCCGACUAGACAUUCACUCUAAUCCUGCAAUGGGAGGAUUUCUCUCAGAAGAAAUAGGAAAUUUGAAGAGUUUAGUUAAAUUAAACUUCAGUGGCCUUAAUCUUUCAGGUGCCUUUACUUCAGCUCUUUGUCGCCUAACCAAACUAGUAUCUCUUUCAGGUGCUGAGAAUCAAAUUCAUGGUUCCAUUCCCUCUGAAAUAGGAAAUUUGAAAAAUUUGAAAUAUCUUUUCUUCGAGUCCAACCAGCUGACUGGUCAAAUCCCUCCGACCCUUGGCAGUCUGACUACUCUGAUUUAUUUGGACCUCUCUUCUAACCAAAUAAGUGGUUCCAUACCUCUUCAACUUUCCGUUAUACCUUCUCUAAAAUUUUUAGAUCUUUCCUCAAACCAACUUAGAGGUCCGAUUCCAUUUACAUUAAAUUUGGACACCUGGUCUAGAUUGAAGCAUUUAUAUCUACAAAACAACUCUUUGAGUGAUAUUUUUCCAUGGAAAAUUCUAGAUCUCCCUUUGUUACAGACAGUGGACUUAAGUCGUAACCGCAUUAGCGGAAAGAUACCAACCCAAUCGGAGUGGUACUUUUCGACUUUGGAUCUUUCCCACAAUAUUCUCUCUGGCACUGUCCCCUCGUCUCUUAUGCGACUGGGGGAAGUCGACCUGUCCUAUAAUGCUUUGGAAGGUGAACUUCCGUGUGAGCUUGUCAUUCAGUUUGGUUCAGAAAGAUUUGUCGGCAAUCCAGGCUUGCGUUACACUUCCACUCUUUGUGGUGUAUCUCCUCCUGUUAUGAAAAAUCACAGACAUCACCCCCCAUACUACAUCAUAGGUCUUGGCGUGUCCUUGUUGGUGUUCUCAUUAAUUGGCGGAUUAGUGCUUUUUAUCUUCUGCAAAACCAAAGUCAAGAAAGUGGAAGUUGAGCUGAUGGACAAUAAACAUGGAGACAUUUUCAGAAUAUGGAACUACGAUGGACAUAUGGCUUAUGAAGACAUAAUUAAAGCAACAAACGAUUUUGAUGUCUGUUAUUGCAUCGGGACAGGGGGGUAUGGUUCUGUAUACAGAGCGCGGUUGCCAAGUGGGAAAGUAGUGGCUUUGAAAAAGCUUCACCGUUUGGAAGGCGAGAAUCCAAAUUUUGACAAGAGCUUUAGGAACGAAGCCGACAUGCUAUCUAAAAUCAGGCACAGGAACAUUGUAACGCUCUUCGGAUUCUGCCUGCACAAGCGAUGCAUGUUUCUGAUUUAUGAGUAUAUGGACAGAGGAAGCUUGUUUUGUAUCUUGAGAGAUGAAACCGAAGCUGUGGAGCUGGAUUGGAUUAAAAGAGUGAAUUUGAUCAAGGGCAUUGCCAGUGCAUUGUCCUACUUGCAUCAUGAUUGUGAUCCGCCAGUCAUUCACAGGGAUGUAUCAAGCAACAACAUUCUUUUGAAUUCACAGCUCGAAGCAACUCUUUCUGACUUCGGAACCGCGAGGAUUUUGGAACUUGAUUCAUCAAAUCAAACAGUCAUUGCAGGCACCUUUGGCUACAUGGCACCAGGUAGGUUGCCUUGCUAUCCCAGAUCCCUUUCUGCUUUUCACCUUGUUUUUCAUAUUUUCUUGAUGCACAUAUUAGGCUUAACUUUCAAGGACAGAAAAGAAAAAAAUUCUUCCAACUGAAACGAUUAAUUUUUUUUUUUCGAAUAGUAAGUCUAGAGUUGUCCCAUUUGAGAUUAACUUUAUUUGUAUCCAAAUAUAUACAUACUUGUCAAUGCAGAGCUAGCCUAUACCAUGGUGGUCACUGAAAAGUCCGAUGUGUAUAGCUUUGGAGUUGUGGUGCUGGAAACGCUGUUUGGAGAGCAUCCACAAGAUUUCCUUUCUUGCAUAUCAUCACAACCCAAUGAACCAAUAAUGCUGAAGGAUCUUCUUGAUGCCCGUCUGCCCCCUCCGACUAACCCUUUGGUGGUUCGAAAUGUGGUUCUCGCGACAGCGUUAGCCCUGGAUUGCGUUAACGCAAACCCGAAAUGUCGACCAACAAUGCAGCAAGUGGUGAACCGAUUUGAAGUGGGCAGGCGAGAAUCAACUAGGCCUUUGCACACCAUUGCUGUGAAUCAGCUUGUUAGUCCACCAGUACUUUCACUGCCUGACCAAACCUGCGCAGAUGGGAGGAGUAGCUUAAGCACCAUAAAUGAAUUCCACGUGGAUAUCUCUGCGACUCUGCCAUCAUCCAAUUUUUCUAUCCAUGUUUCUACCUAAACAACUUUGAUAUCUGGUAGGAAACAGAAUAAGAUUUUUGACAAUUGCAGAGACCUCCCUUCAAGUUUAUUAAAUUACACCUACCUCCCUUGCUUUUAGUAUUUAUAUAACAAUAUAGGCCCAAAAGGCUAUAUUUUUUUUUCAAAAAUCCUAAACUACCCUUUUUGUACAAAAAUAUAACAAAAAUUAUUUUGCCAAUUGCUUUCUUUCAUAUUUCAACCAAACCCACCGUACUAACAAACUAACCUAACAAAUAGUCUAAUUCCAAAUUCUAAACCCAAGUAAUUCCAUCAUCAUGUUAUAAAAUUGCUUCUCCCAAAGCAUUCAUUCAAUUUUGAAGAUUCGUUCCAUUCUUCAAAAAUAUUCUCACCAUAUGGUUACAUGGAACGGUCAAACUCACAAUCAAUUGUUCUUAUGUUUGCAUAAUCUUGAACAUAGGAUGCCAUGGUUUGGUUCCAUAUAAGUGGUUUAACUCCUACUACAUAAGCCACAUUGUGGUCUUGAAGAAAAUCCUUAGGGAAGAUUUAGGUAUGGAUGGAAUUAAUCAAGUUUAAGAAAAGGAAAGGCAUCAUUAUGAUUAUAGAGAUCUUCAAAAAAUUCAUUUUGCCAAAAAUCAAAAUUCUAUUUACAAUUAAUCACACCCCAAACUUCAAACCCAAUGCCUACACUUUCUCAAAACAAAAUAAUCUAGCCUACUAUUAAAUCUCCAAACAUGUUAACGUUUUAAAUACAGAGAAGAAACUCUAUCUUCAUAACGAAACCACAACCAACAAUUGUCAAGUAUAAAAAGAAAUAUAAAUGUACUUAUUGAUAUCUUAAAAAGUUUUUUGGAUGGAUGAUGGACAAAUUAGCAAAUUUAUCAAUUUCAAAUGCUCUUCCUCUUUUGGCUAAUGAUUGCAUUAUCUGUUCCAUUAUUAUUGCGUGUCCCUUCAUUUCCUUUUAAUUUGACCAUGAAAUCGGAUUUUACUUCAAUCAUCAAAUCUAAUCUCUUAAAUAAACUUGUGAUUUGACAAUUUCAAAGAGAAGAAAAGAGGAAUAGAAAUAUAUAGUAGGGUGUGAUUGGCUGCAAUUAUAGGCAAUGGUUGGUGGUAAUUUGAGAGCGAAUUAUAGGAAGAAAGGGUUGAUGGAUGAAAACAAAAUGAUAAUAAGCGAGAGAAUCGUCGUUAGCUGUAACUUGUAAAUAGGAUAGCAAAAAAGGUUAAGUUUCUUUUUCUUUUUUUUAAAAAUCUCAUUUCAUUAUACUAUGAAUUAUUUAUUAAGUGAAGGUCAUUAUAGUCAUAUUAUUGUGACAAGAGAGGUUAGUGUAAUUUGUAAAACUUGAGGUGAGCCAAGUGGAAUUGUCAUAACCUCAAGGGAGGUUUGUGAAAUUAUCCCUAAACUAUAACCAAAUUUAAAAUUUGAACUCUAAAUAUGUAGCAUGCAUUUGCCUUUACUAGUUAAAAGAGAAAAAGGAAUUUCACACGUAAGAAAUUAUUGAAACAUAAAUGGUGCAAAUUUUCUUUUUUUAAAAAAAUUUUAAUAUAAAUGUACGAGUUUUUAUCAAUCUCUAGUUUGCCAUAUAAACAUAGAAUGAUUUUCAAUAUGAAUUUAUUAUAUCACCUAUUAUUUUAAUUCAUUAAACUCAACCACAGAAAAGAAAAAACUCGAACAUCAAGUUUCGAAAUGUGGAACCUAUAUUCAGCGGGCUACUAUUUUGGUGCUUAUGCCCCCAUAAGUCGAUUGCUGCGACUUUUUCUUCCUCCUAGGAUGGCCCAAAAGAAAGAAAAAAAGAAAAAAGAGUUUCCCGGUUGCUCAUCAAUUGAGGAAAACGCUGGUGAUUCCUUAUUGCUUCCUGGAUUUUUAACCUAAAGUGUAUAAUAGCUUAAGAAAACGUUGUACUAUUAAAAGAAAUUCUGGACCCAUAGUAUCCAAGUAAACAGCCAGUUGAUACGUGCAAGGAGGCUGUUGGGUUGGAGUGGAGUGGACAUUUGCGUUGGGUUAGUGGGCUUAAGUUGUUUACAGAAUGGUUGGUAAAAAAAAAUUAUGGUUGGGUUUACAGAUGGUUGAUGAUAGUGUUAUACCCAGUAUUCCUGGUACGCAUUCAGAAUCUGCUUCUAAGAGUAGAACUGAUAAUUUGAGUGAUCUUGACCUUUCUUGAUAUGUGAACCAAGGAAUGCCUCUGCCUGGAUGUAUUGUUCACCAAGAAACCUAGUCUCAUGUUUCGGGGAGAUUGGAUGAUCAAAAUGGUUCUUGCAAAUAUACUUUUGGGAGAAAUUGGUGGCCACCUUCUGGUUCAUUUGCCGCCAACCAUCCAGUUUGACCUGCUUAUGGAAGAAGUUGGAGGCCAUGAUAAUUGAAUGCAGGAUCUGUAAACUGCUGUAAUGUAUAUACUGCUCCUCAUAGUCGAAAUAGUGAUGCCUCCCUGCUGACAAAUUGACCAUCUUAAUUCUUUUCUGGUUGCUUGCAAGCUUCUUAACAUACAUUGUAGGAUAUAUUAUACUUCUUGUACAUGUAAAAAUUUUCAGGAGGUGCAAAAAAAGACACUUGGUUUAUAAUUCUAUUUUAUAACAAAAAAAUGCAAAAAUAAAUAAACAAUUAUUAUGUAGCUAGCUAGCUAAUUUGGCUUUUCUUUUCUUAGCUAACUAUAUGUUCCAAAGCAAACAUUCUGGUAUAAAAAGCUAUACAUGCAAGUAUUGUGCAUGAACAGAUAUAUAGAAGAAUAUUAGUAGAGGGCUAAUAGAAAGUUAUGCUAUAGAUGUUAUGCACAUAUUAGGUUAGAUCCCAUCUCCCUUUAAUUUUUUAUUAUUAGAAAAUGAUAAACAGUAUUAGCAGAAAUAGUUUUGUAAGUUCCAUAGAAAACCUUAGGGCUCCAUACUGUUAUAAUUUUGUUAAAUUUUUGGACAAUUUUGCUCUCCCUUUACUCCCAUGGCGGUGAAGUUGCUAAGCCUUGGUUACAAUUUUCUUCCUAUCCAACCCUUCACCCAUGAUCCGACGUCACUACUCCAAAACCCAAGUAUCCAAUACCAAUGCGAAUGCUUCAUACUUUGGUAAAACUCUGGCAAAGGCAUCAGAGUUUCCAAACUUUGAACUCGAGCAAGGGGCUUGAGAUUACAUGAUCAAGCUAUACAUAGUACAUACCAAUUCUUUUUAAGUUGUAUAAAUGCUUAAAGAGUUUCUAACCGUCAAGGAUUCCUAUGGCUGUUGGGAAAUCUUCAGACAUUACGAUACCAAAAAUCUUUGUGAUGUUGAAUGUGGAGGAUAAUAAUUCAAACCAUCUAAUACAAGUACCAAAACCAAAAAGAUUAAUUUGGCCAAAAUAACAGAUACUAGCUCGAAGAGUCGCUGCUACAUGCAUGGAGGGAGACCAGUAGCUCGCCGGCUAGAAUAAUGGAAGUUGUAAACAAGGUCUGCUAAUCAGGAAAAAUCUCCUAUUUUGUAAUGGCACUUUUUAUGAUUGUAAUACUGACAAUAUAAGGUGAAUCCUACUGUGACAUUAGUUAUAUAUAUAUAUAUACUAACUAGUAUUGUCCGUCUAAAAAUUUUGCACUAUAAGUUUACAAUGUGUUAUAGAUUUUCAGAAUAACUAAAUGUCUACAAUGAGUGGACAACUUUAUUCAAUGUUAAAGUAAUUUAAAGAAGAUAUCUGCAAUUUGUUUUAAUUGUAAUAACUAUAAGGUCAUCAAAUGGUAUAAAAUAACAUAAUUAUUAAAACUAUGCAAAAAAAUUGUACAAAAGUGCACAAUAACUAAUUAUGCAUUUAGUAUUAGAUGCAUAUUUUCAUAUGUGCAAUAAGCAGAUAAUGUAUACACAGUUUAACUAUCAAAUGAAUGUUUAGCUAACUUGUAAUUCAUAAGGUUAAGAAAAGUUUAAUGUUAAGUGCACAAGAUUUGUUAGAAAGAAAAUAAAAAUAGCAUUGUAUAAUAUAUUUUAUUUUAAUGUUGCAUUGCAGAAAUGAUGGUGAUAACUGCAUAAAAUUUUAAAACUUUUGGGAGGCAAUUGUGGGGUUAGUGGAAAUAUUACCAAAUUUCAACGGGUGCAAAAGUGAGGCAACAAUAGAAAACCUUUUAAUAGGCUAUUCUGAAAAUUCGAUUUUGGUAGGUUGCUUGGUUGGUUUUUCCCAUAUUUUGCUAAGUAAUUCAUCUUUUCGGCACGUGGCAAAAUAAAUUAUAAAGAAAAUUGUGUUUUUUAUUUUUUUGUGGAUUUUAUUUUUGUCUUUUUUUCUUUGCAACCAAUCUAUUAAUUACUUAGCUUAUAUAAGUUUGUAUGUUUGUGCCUUCUUUAUUUUUUUUUGUCAAUCAACUCACGUUUUUUCUUUUUUAAUCCUCUUCAAGCACGUUUUCUAUUUUUAUUAUUGGUUUGAUCAUUCAUCAGUAUUAAUUUGGACAAAUUAUGCCACGUUAAUGUUGAGGUAAUAGUAUCUAUUUUCUGUCUUUACCUUCCUGUCUAAUAAUUCCUUUUUUCUUCUAAUAAUUCUUAUUCUAAUAAUAGUGUUAUUUAUUAGAUUUCCUAAAAUUAUUUCAUCAUUAGUCUUUUCUUAUCUACAACAUAUAUGUCUUACAUAUUUCAUAAGGAAGUUCUUGAUUGAUGGUCAAGUCAAGUGUUCUCCAAUUUUCUUAUCAAUCAACCAUGAAUCUCUCUUAAUGAAUUUCCUUAAUUAAUUGACCCAGAGUUAAAUAUUUACACAUUUUAACCAUCUACUUUUUCAACAUCGUAUAUAGGCAUAUCAAUGGGUUGGGUCUUACCCAAAUCCAAUCCAGACCCAAUAUAUUUGGGUAGGGUUUGGAUUUAAUUUCUCAAAUUCAGACCCUACCCAGACCCAAACCCAGACCCUAUGAGAGAAUCGUGGGUGUGGGUAAAGUCUGAUUUUCUAGAAUCCAUAUCCAAAUCCAGACCCAGACCUUACCCAGAUCCAUAUAUAUUUAAUUAAAUAAUAUAUAUUAAAAAAUUUAUAAAAUAAUAUAAUAUUUUAUGGCUAUUGGAUCAAAUACAGUAAGAUUUUAUGGCAUUCAGAAUCUGCAAUUAAUGUUGGUGGUUGGAUGAUUAAUGAGACUCGUGUCAAAUUGCUUCUAGAUGUUGUUGAAACAUUAGUGACUACUGAUGAUUGGAUUGAAUCAAAGAAAAAAUGAGUAAGUGUUUAUAAAUCUUCUUAUGCUAUUAUUUAUUUGUUAUCGGUUCCUAAUCAAAAGAUUUUUAUCUCAUUCACUAUUUUAGUGUUGGAUUGCGAGACAUCUGCCACCAUUGAGGUUUAAAUAAGCAAAAGAGGUACAAAAUUACAUUUUUUUAAUAAAAUUAAAUAUUUAUAUAUGUUAUGGUUGUUUUCUUUUUUAAAAACUAAUCCUAGUUGUCAUUGUAAUUGGCCCAGACUUUUUCAAGAAAAUGAGAAAAGGUAAAGGCAAAUAAAUGAAAUAUUGAUGUGGAUGCAGUUGAAUCUUGAAAAAUAUAUAGAAGUAGUCAAUAAUAAUUCUUUCUUUGAGUUCAAAAUAUUGCAUUCAAUUUGUUGAAUGUUAAUUUUAUUAGUUGAAAACAAAAUUUGGAUGAUAUUUCUAUUAUUUAUGAACUCUAUAUAUUUUUAAUAUAUUUUUACUUUAGUAUUUUCAAAAAAUACCCAUGGAUACCCAUUGAAUACCCAGAUCCAUAAAGGUCAGGGUAUGGAUUUACUUUUGGGUCUGGAUUUGGGUUUAGGUCUAACUAAAUUAAAUGGGUCUGGAUCUGGAUCAAAAGGAUCCAACCCAGACCCUACUCAUUGACAUGCCUAAAUUCGUAUAGCUAUGUAUAUGACAUGAUACUGAUGAUAUUGAAUAGCUGAAUAUAUAUGAUAUAUGAAUUGAUAGGUAUAAUUAUGGUAUGUUUCGUCAUUUUUCUUAACAAACUCAAAUAAUUACUUUUUCUUUUAUCCCUUUGAUAGGGUGUAAAAAUGUAGUAUAUUUAAAUGUAUAAGUUGCUAGUUAAUCAUGUGAUUUGAGCUUUAUCUUAAGUAGAAACUACUUAGUUUUGCUCUUAUCUUGUUCUAAUAGGUGAAAACUCAAUUGGAGGGAAAAUGGACUAAAAACGUGGUGCAAAGAAGCAAUGAAAGAGGAAAAAGUGAAGAGAAAGGGAUUUGGCAGGAUCGACAUAUUUCAUUAUUUUGGCGAUAACUUGAACUACACAAAUCGGAUUGAGAUGAUUCUUGAUUCAAUUUGAAGCUAAGAGAGAAUGCUAUUGGACAUUAAAGUUUGGUUCACAUGUUUUCAUAGUCAAAAAUCCAAAUUACUGAAGUAUAGUUGUGUUGUGAUACUCUUUGAUAGGGUAUUAAUUGUUAGUAAUUUUAUCGUUAAUUCUCCUCUUUAUCCUUGCCAAAUAUUGCUCUAAUUGUGACAUGUACUUAUAUUUGGUAUUUGAAUCCAAUUUCAGAAAGUGGAGCAGAAACUAUCUUGAGAAGAUUAUUGUGAAACUCUAUACAAUUGGCCCAUAUGCAUGGUGUAAACCAACGUCCAUUUCUUUCUAUGAUGAAAAGGAAUUGAAUUGCAUUUGGCUGGCCAACAUCUCAAUUAGGUGGGGACCGUGAAGACUUGACCAUUGUGUAAAGACACAUUUUUGGUUUGCUCUCUUAUUUGUGAACGUGUGCACUUGGUCAAAGGAAACCGACAAACCAUAGUUGGCUUUGCUUUUGUUUUCGGUGGAGUUGAUUAGGUAGGGAAGGAAUGUUUUCUUUUGUGAGCAUGGAGUGAAGUUUCGAAUUGGCUUGUUUUUAUGCGUGGGGAGAGCCGCACAUUGGGGGAGUCAGUUUUUCUUCUUCUCUUCCGGCUGGGAAGAGAAGUUUUUAGUUUUGGAGUUUUCUCUAAAAAUAAGCUCCGUAGGAGGAUAGAGGAGUUUUUAGUUUUCUCUCCGAGGGAUGUUCCAGAGGAGAGAAUAGGGAGUUGUUUUGGUUUGUUGAAUUCUAGUGUGCAAUUUUCUUAUUCUCUUCCGAGAGCUUUGUUAUUCACUCUCUCAAUUAUCGAAGAAAGAUGAUGUCUUUAAAUUCAAUUGAAUUGUGUGAAGAUUUUCUUAUGAGGCGUGGCUAAUUUUCUCCUCUAGUCAAGGAUCAAUGCGAAGACGCAGUCCCAAUUAUCUGUGAGAUCUAAUUAAUUUUACGUGUUCCUUAAUUUAUUAAUAUUUGCAUGUUUUCUAUUUUAAUUUCCAUGGGAUUAUUUUGUUAAUUGGAUAUCAAGGGCCCGAUGUGCAAUUUGACUUUUUAAUCUCUUGUCAAAUUAAUCAAUUAAAUCCGUAAUUGUUUAGUUGGUUAAUAUUAGUGGCAACUAGUAUUUUCACAUACUAGGAGAACAUGCAAUCUGAUUUAAAUAACCCUCGUAGCGUGUUAUUAAUUUGGGUUAGGCUUUUCUAGUUUUUAAUGCAAUUAGGAAAUUAAUUCCUACGGUCGUACCUAGGAGUAUUUCCUGGUUAGAGGUAAUCAACGGUCGUACCUUGGUUAUCAAUAAAUUAAGGAAAAGCUGGUUGUUAGAGCUUAUCGGCGACUAUAACUAGUCUAUUAAUUAAAUUAAGUGAACCUUCUUUGCAUCAAUGAUCGAAUGAAUGGACUGUGUCUGCGUAGUUGUAUCCUUGGCUAGAAUUUAUUUAUUAUUUAUUUAAUUGCUAUUUACAAUUGUAUUAAUUAAUUAUUUAUUUUUGGUUAAAUUAUUUAAUUGUUUUUUAGUUAAAUUGUUUAAUUAUUUAUUUUAUAUUUCAUUUUGAUAAAAAUCCCCCGUGUCUCGAAUUUAAAAAGAAUCGAAUUUUUUUCCAGUCCCUGUGGAUUCGACCCUGCUUACUACUAUACACAGAAAAUUUAUUUUUCUUAAGCAGGUAUUUAUUAUUGCACAGGCACGACACCUGUCAAUUUUUGGCGCCGUUGCCGGGGACUGGCGUUAAUUAUUUGUUUCUUUUUAAGUUCAUUUUUGUUCUAAUUUUCUGGUAUUUUUUUCUAGUUUAUGCCUCGUUCUUCUCGUACAGGCAAAUUAAUUUUCGACCCUGAAGUAGAGAAGACCGCGCGUAGAACGAGGAAAGAAACCAGACAACUCAGAGAAGAGCAAUACGGUAUUGCAUCUCAGGGACUUGAUCCAGAGGUUGAGCCGACAAAUUUGUCUGGUGACAAUUCGAGUGAUUCAGACCAAGAGGAAGUCACUAUGGCAAAUGCACGAACAUUAAGGGAGUUGGCUGCUCCUGAUUUAAAUCAGCAGCCAUUGUGCAUUACUUUUCCAAAUUUAAAUGAUGACACUCCCUUUGAACUAAAAUCUGGUCUAAUUCAUCUCUUGCCAUCUUUCCAUGGUCUACCAGGUGAGGAGCCCUACAAGCACUUGCAAGAAUUCGACGUCGUUUGCACCAGCAUGAAACCACCGGGAAUUACAGAAGAGCAAAUAAAGAUGAGGGCUUUCCCCUUCUCUUUGAAGGACUCUGCAAAAGACUGGCUCUACUACCUACCGCCUGGUAGUAUCACCACGUGGGACCAAUUGAAGAAAAAAUUUCUGGACAAGUACUUUCCGGCGUCUCGAGCUGCGAGCCUAAGGAAAGAGAUAUGUGGUAUCAAACAACACCCUAGCGAGUCUCUCUAUGAGUACUGGGAGAGAUUUAAGAAACUGUGCACCAAAUGCCCUCAGUAUCAGAUAAGUGAGCAACUGCUCAUUCAAUAUUUCUAUGAGGGGUUGCUUUUCAGGGACAGAAACAUAAUCGAUGCUGCAAGUGGAGGGGCGUUGGUGAACAAAACCCCUCGAGGAGCAUGGGAGUUGAUUGAAGGGAUGGCUGAGAAGUCACAGCAGUUUGGUUCAAGAGAGGACAUCCCGACGCGUAGGGUGAAUGAGGUGGAAACGUCCUCUAUCCAACAGCAAAUCUCCGAAUUAACAUCUUUCGUAAGACAAUUAGCUGUGGGGAGUACUUCACAAGCCAAAGUGUGUGGGGUAUGCACUGCCGUGGGUCAUCCUACGGAAAUGUGUCCAUUGGUUCAAGAAGAAACUGCAGAACAGGUGAACAUGGCUGGCCACGCGCCCGCGCCAAGAAAGCAGUACGAUCCGUACUCAAGCACCUACAAUCCUGGUUGGAGGGAUCACCCCAACCUUAGCUAUGGAGGAAAUAGGCAGUCUAAUUUUGUACCAAAUAGACCACAAGGGCACCAACAGCAAUAUCAUCCUCGCCCACCACCACUACCACCCCCUUCAAAUUCAAGUCCGUCCAUGGAAGAGAUGAUGAAGCAAUUACUUGCUAAUCAACAAAAGACGGAUUCAGACCUGCAAAGCAUGAGAAAUCAACUGGGACAGGUGCAAUCAUUGCAAAAUCAAAUGAAUCAAAUGGCUAUAACAAUCAACCGUUUGGAGUCCCAAGUUCAAGGAAAGUUACCAUCUCAGUCUGAGGCAAAUCCAAAGAAUGUAAGCGCAAUGACCUUAAGGAGUGGCAAGGAAGUUCAAGGACCCGAACCGGUGAUUUCUAAAGACAAGGACGAGCAACGGAUUGAGAAAGAAUUGGAAGAGGAGGGCAGAGACAACAAAAAUGCAAAGGUACCCUCGAACCCAAUUCCUACAGCUAAAACUAAUCCACCUCCCUUUCCUAGCAGGUUAGAGAAACCAAAGAAGCAAGACAAGGAAAAAGAGAUCUUGGAGAUCUUUUGCAAGGUGGAGAUCAACAUACCCCUGCUGGAUGCGAUUAAACAAGUACCUAGGUACGCAAAAUUUUUAAGGGACCUGUGUGCCAACCGCAAGCGGUUGAAGGGGGAUGAACGAGUUAUAGUUGGGGAGAAUGUUUCAGCAAUUCUACAAAGAAGGCUUCCACCGAAAUGCGGAGAUCCAGGUAUGUUUACUAUUCCUUGUAGGAUAGGUAAUACUUUGAUUGGAAAGGCCAUGUUAGACCUAAGAGCCUCGAUUAAUGUCAUGCCAAAGUCCAUUUAUGCUUCAUUGAACUUAGGCCCUUUGAAAGAGACUGGAAUAAUAAUCCAAUUAGCUGACAGGACCAAUGCAUACCCUGACGGGUUGAUUGAAGAUGUUUUGGUAAAAAUUAAUGAAUUGAUUUUUCCAGCUGAUUUUUAUGUGCUCGACAUGGAGGAUGAACACUCCCGUGAUCCGUCACCUUUGUUGUUAGGUAGACCCUUUUUUAGCACAGCCCGAACCAAAAUUGAUGUUAAUAAGGGUACUUUGUCUAUGAAAUUUGAUGGUGAGAUUGUUCAUUUUAACAUCUUUGAGACCAUGAAAUAUCCAUCCGAUUCAAAUAUUGGCUCUGUUUUCUCGGUAAAUGUUAUUGACCCUGCUAUACAGGAGUUUUUUGAAAUUGAAGGCAGGGAUGAACUAGAGGUCGUCCUGACCAGGCACUUUGAGUCCGAAACGACCUCUAGGGUAGAGUUGAGUGAAGAGCUUAAAUGCGUGAUUGGAUCGUUGCAAACGUUACCAAUCACGAAGACAAGAUAUGAUCUUGCACCGAUUUUCAUACCCGAACCUCACCAAAGGUUACUUCCAUCUGUGGUGCAGGCACCUGUCUUGGAACUAAAACCACUGCCGAAACACCUAAAGUAUGUAUACUUAGGUGAAGGGGAGACACUUCCAGUGAUCAUUUCCGCGGGUUUAUCAAAGGUUCAAGAAGAGAAACUACUUCGAGUUCUUAGGGAACAUAAGCAGGCGAUAGGAUGGACCAUCGCCGACAUCAAGGGAAUUAGCCCCGCGGUGUGUAUGCACCGAAUUCGACUCGAGGAGAAUGCUAAACCCGUACGGCAAGCUCAACGGAGAUUAAAUCCUCUCAUGAUGGAGGUCGUAAAGAAAGAGAUUUUAAAACUGUUGGACGUUGGAAUUAUAUUUGCAAUAUCAGAUAGCCCGUGGGUAAGUCCAGUACAGGUGGUCCCGAAGAAAGCAGGGGUGACGGUAGAAUCAAACCAAGAGGGUGAGCUCGUACCAAUUCGAAAUCCCACCGGAUGGCGACAGUGUAUCGAUUACCGGAAGCUAAACGCUGUCACAAAAAAUGACCAUUUUCCCCUCCCUUUCAUUGACCAAAUGGUAGAGCGAUUAGCAUGUCGAGCUUACUACUGUUUCUUGGAUGGAUUUUCAGGUUACUUUCAAAUUGCCAUAGCACCCGAGGACCAAGAGAAUACUACUUUCACCUGCCCAUUUGGAACAUUUGCAUACCGAAGGAUGCCAUUUGGAUUGUGUAAUGCACCUGCUACCUUUCAAAGAUGCAUGGUAAGUAUCUUUUCAGAGUAUGUUGAGAAGAUUAUUGAGGUUUUCAUGGACGAUUUCAGUGUAUAUGGUGAAAGUUUUGAAAACUGUCUAGAUAAUCUGAAAUUGAUCUUAGUAAGGUGUAUAGAAACUAAUCUCGUGCUUAAUUGGGAAAAAUGUCAUUUUAUGGUUGAACACGGGAUAGUUUUGGGUCAUGUAGUAUCAUCUACAGGUAUUGAGGUUGAUAAGGCAAAAAUAGAUGUUAUAUCUACUUUACCUUACCCCGCGAGUGUGCGGGAAGUUCGUUCCUUCUUGGGUCACGCAGGUUUCUAUAGAAGGUUCAUCAAGGACUUCUCGAAAAUUGGAGCACCUUUGUUCCAACUUUUGCAAAAAGAUGUAUCCUUCGAAUUUGAUGAAACAUGUAAGGGGGCAUUCAAUAAGUUAAAGGAGUUAUUGACCACCUCACCUAUUAUCCAACCCCCUGACUGGAACCUCCCAUUCGAGAUCAUGUGUGACGCCAGCGACUAUGCAGUGGGUGCGGUAUUGGGUCAAAGAGUAGGAAAGGCAGCUCAUGCUAUCUACUACGCAUCUCGAGCCUUGAACGGAGCUCAAUUGAACUAUUCAACCACCGAAAAGGAGCUUUUAGCAGUUGUUUUUGCCUUAGAAAAAUUUCGGUCUUAUUUACUUGGUACUAAAGUUAUUAUUUUUUCUGAUCAUGCAGCUUUACGAUAUUUGUUGACCAAGAAAGAGGCAAAACCGCGAUUGAUACGGUGGAUAUUGUUGUUACAAGAGUUCAACCUGGAGAUCCGAGAUAAGAAAGGGGCAGAGAACCUGGUAGCAGAUCACUUGAGUCGAGUACAAGUCGUCGAAGAGGACCUCCCAUUGAGAGAAGCAUUCCCCGAGGAGCAUUUAUUUUCUAUUAAUUCAUCUUUGCCUUGGUAUGCAGAUAUUGUUAAUUUUCUAGUCACUGACAAAUUUCCUACAGGAUGGCCUAAGGCGAAGAGAGACAAGUUGAGGAGCGAUGCAAAGUUCUACAUUUGGGAUGAUCCUUACCUCUGGAAGCGGGGCGCCGAUCAAAUCAUCCGUAGAUGUGUAAGUGAAGUUGAAUUUCAAUCUAUUCUAGCCAAUUGUCACUCUUUUGCAUGUGGAGGUCACUUUGGACCAAAGAGAACGGCUCGUAAGGUGCUAGAGAGUGGAUUCUAUUGGCCAACCCUAUUCAAGGACGCCUACUCAUUUUGUAAGUCCUGUGAUAAGUGUCAAAGAGUGGGUAAUAUCUCUCGUAGGGAUCAAAUGACCCAAACCCCAAUGAUUUUUGUUGAAAUUUUUGACGUUUGGGGCAUUGAUUUUAUGGGUCCUUUUCCUUCGUCCUUUGGUUUUUUGUAUAUAUUGCUUGCUGUAGAUUAUGUUUCGAAGUGGGUAGAAGCAAAGGCCACCCGCACUAAUGAUUCCAAAGUGGUUGCAGAAUUCAUUAAGUCUAAUAUUUUUGUCCGCUUUGGGAUGCCGCGAGCAAUUGUAAGUGAUCGGGGUACUCAUUUCUGCAACAAAACGAUCGCUGCAAUUUUUAGGAGAUAUGGUGUCUUGCACAAAGUCUCUACAUCCUACCAUCCUCAGACAAAUGGUCAGACGGAAGCAUCGAACCGAGAGAUCAAAUCAAUUCUAGAAAAGAUGGUCCGACCCGAUAGGAAGGAUUGGAGUGUGAGACUAGAGGAUGCACUAUGGGCAUAUAGGACGGCAUACAAGACACCUAUUGGCAUGUCCCCUUACCGAUUGGUAUUUGGAAAACCAUGUCAUCUCCCGGUAGAGUUUGAGCAUAGAGCGUUUUGGGCGGUCAAGCAAUGCAAUAUGGAUAUCGAGGAGGGCGGAAUUCAAAGGAAGUUGCAAUUACAAGAGUUGGAAGAAAUCCGAAAUGAAGCAUACGAGAAUGCAGUGAUCUAUAAAGAGAAGAAUCGGAUCUUUCAUGACCAACAGAUCUCUAGGAAGACAUUCGUCUGCGGGCAAAAAAUUUUACUAUACCACUCCAAAUUGAAACUAUUUCCAAGUAAAUUACGUUCUCGUUGGAUUGGCCCUUUUGUUGUGACUAAUGUCUUUCAUUAUGGUGCAGUAGAGAUCCAAAGUUUGAAAACGGAGAAGAAAUUUGUGGUGAAUGGUCACCGUCUCAAGCCGUAUUAUGAAGGAUUUCCAAUUGAACGGGUGGAGAUGAUGCAACUGGAAGACCCGAUUUGCUUAGUUUAAGCAAAUUCUGGACUCCGUCUAGCCAAAGACGUUAAAGAAAGGCGCUUUUGGGAGGCAACCCAAUUUUUGAUUUUGUUGAUUUUUGUUGUUCAAUUCGUUAAAUAUGUCGUUUCUCAUCUGGGUAUUGUUUAAACUUGAUAUUUUCUCUACUAUGAUCAGGACAGGUGAUCAUGGCGUGCCCGCGCAGAGAGGGCACGUAUUAAUCUUACAAGUUCCAACUUCAAGGUCAGAGGAUGUUUCUAAAACAUGGCAUGCCCACGCCAUGUUGGUAAAAUCUCAACAUUACAAAGUGGAAUCUUGGCGUGCCCACGCCAUGUUUAACAAAAAAAAAAAAAAAUCAAAAUCAAAAUGCUGUUAUUUUCCUUCUUAACACUCGUUUUAGUUUUUCAGCAAUUCAAUUCUGAAUUUAAAAAAAAAAAAAAAAACUGUAAGAUCAAAUUUUUUUUCCUUUCUUUUUUCUCUUUUCUUUCUUUUCUUUUUCUUUCUUUCUUUCUUUUUCUUUUCUUUCUUUCCUUUCUUUCUUUCUUUCUUCUUCUUUUCUUUCUUCUUCUUCCCGCUGUCCGUGUUUUCUUCUUCCUCGCGCACUCCGCCAACCUCUAUUCUCCACUUCGUGCGCCUCACCUCCAUCGCCACCACUGUCCACCACCCAUCCAGCUCCUCACCGCCUCCCUCUUCUCUCUCUCUUCACACCGCACGACAACCAGCUCGCGUCACAACUCCUGCAACCCAGAGCAGCACCGCCACUGCCUGCUGCUUUCUCAUCGCCAUACCCCCAGCUCCACCCCCACCCUCGGUCUCGCUUCUACCCACCUAGCUCGCUGUCACCACCAGUCCGCGUUUUCCAUCUUCCUCGCGCGCGUUUCCAUCUGCAGCUGACUGAGCCUCCCAGCAUCGCGAGCCACCAGCGGCAACCGCCGCCUCUUCAGCCAGCAACCAACUGCCGCCAACACUAUCCACAACCAGUGCAGCUCCUCCACCUCAGCUCAGCUCUCUCUCUCUCUCUCGCCAACCAUCCAUAACCGCCGCCCUCAAGCUCAUCCUGAAGCGUCCACCUCUGCAUGCAGCCGCCGCUGUCUCAGCUCUCUCCACCAGCCCACACCAACUCCAAGCUCCAUCUUCCUCCUCCUUGCGUGACUGCCACCAGCUUCACCAAGCAGCCGCGCACACGAAUCUCCACUCCAACGCAGCCACAACCGCAAAACCUCCGCUCUUGCAUUUUUCUCAUACCCCUUUGACUAUAAGAUAACAAGAAAUAUGGUGCGAUGGUGACUUUAGUUUAGUCCGUGCAAAGUGGAAACCUCAAGGUAUCGGCUCUAAUCAGAACAUCAAGGUAUCUCUGUAGCCUCAAUCAAGUAGAUUGUUUGGGUCAAAUGAAUGUUGUGAGCUGUGUUUUUAUUACUACUUGGAACAGUCAAGUGUUUGUGUGAGCUGCCUCUGUGAUAUUAAUUUGAAUUGUUGUGAUUUCUUGGAGACAAUUAUUGAGUUUCUGAAAGAAUUGUGACUAAUUACUGAUAUUGGUUGUUUUGAUUUGCUUGAGUUGAUAUUUUAUUACAUUAUUAGCAGUUGUGUUCUAAUAUUGUGUGUAGCUCCUUUUUCCGAUUGUUUGUUGAUUUGAAUGAUUAUUGAGAUUGGUUAAGUGUGUAUCUAACUGUCCAAUUGGAGACAAUUGUUGAGAUUUUGGGUCGAAUUGUGUUUAAAUUGCUGUAAUUUGUGUCCAAUUGUGGGUAAUUUGCUGAGAUUGUUUGUUAAAUUAGGAGGUGCUUGUAAUGCUUAAAUUUGCUUAUUGAAGUAGAUUGCCUCUAAUUGCCUUGUGUGAGAGUCUUUGGUCUUUUCCAUUUAAUUAUUACGUUGAUUGGGGUGAUUUUGAGGUGCAUUGUUAUUGCAUUUGGCUAAGUUUGGAACCACAAGUGCUUAUUGAUUGCAUUUACUAUAAGUGUUGGGGUAAAUGUAUAACUUGUGGGUGAUUGAAGUGUGCAUUUUGUUGUUUAAAUUAACUAAGCGAGAGGCCCCAAUAUUUAUUACAAUUGUUAUUACAAUUUGUUGGAAAUGGUUGUCUAUUGUUCAUUGGAGUGAUAUUUGGAGAAAAUGGUGAGACUCAGAUCAACCCCAGGGGCUAAUCCACCGAUGUCUUGACGAUUUCAGGGGAGUUUCGUUGCCAUUCUUCUUACUUUUUCUAUAUAUUUGUUACAUUGAGGGCAAUGUAUAUUUUAAGUGUGGGGGAGAUUUGGAUUUGAUUGGAGUUUCUUUAAAUUGUUGCUUUUCUUAUUGUUGUCUUGAUGAAUAAAUGUGGCAACUCACUCUUCUAUUGCUGGUUGUGAUUUAUCCUAUGAAUUUUGUUUAGAUGGCAAGUAAACGCAUGUUAUCUUGGUGAAUAUCAUGAGUUUAAUGACUUGGUGCAAAUUGUGGUUAACUUGUUUAGGCAAUAUAAAUAUUUUAUUAGCAAUUUUUGUGUGGAUUGGGCAAUUGUUGAUCUUAGUUCUCCAUAUUAGGAGAUGACGUGGGCCAUGAUCUUUAAUUAUCUGGCAUUCUGGUACUUUAAUUGUGAUUAAUAAAUGACUCUACUCCGCUAGUGCCGUCACCCAGUAACCGGGAGUCUUCACCACAAGUGUCGACUUUCGCGUCAAAAAGUGGCGAUAUCUAUGAGUAGUUAGUCCUGAAGCUGUGAAAAAUUGAGUAACUGGGCUCUUUCAUCUAAAAAUGUCAGAGUUCACGUCAAAAGACUUGAAUAGCUUGGGACUAAACAUUUAUUGAAAAAAAAAAGAGAGAGAGAAGAAAAUAAUGUGUAAGCUUAUGAUCAUGAUUGGCCUGCCGAUCCUUGUUCUUCAAUGUUGAGAUUUUGGUUUUCAGUUGACCAAAUUGCUAACUUUUGCUAGUUUAAUAUUUUGAUUUCUUAGACGAGUUAGCUAUGAAUUGGACGAGUCUACGAUUUCAGGAGCUAACCGGGAGAAAUAUGUCCUGACACUUAGCUACUAAAACUUGAUUUUGGGAUAAGCGCAGCUUGGCAGUAAAUGAAAUGAGAGUUAGCCAUUGUUGAAUUUAGUUGUUCCCAUGCUUGAGGGCAAGCAUGAUUUAAGUGUGGGGGGAAUUGAUAGGGUAUUAAUUGUUAGUAAUUUUAUCGUUAAUUCUCCUCUUUAUCCUUGCCAAAUAUUGCUCUAAUUGUGACAUGUACUUAUAUUUGGUAUUUGAAUCCAAUUUCAGAAAGUGGAGCAGAAACUAUCUUGAGAAGAUUAUUGUGAAACUCUAUACAAUUGGCCCAUAUGCAUGGUGUAAACCAACGUCCAUUUCUUUCUAUGAUGAAAAGGAAUUGAAUUGCAUUUGGCUGGCCAACAUCUCAAUUAGGUGGGGACCGCGAAGACUUGACCAUUGUGUAAAGACACAUUUUUGGUUUGCUCUCUUAUUUGUGAACGUGUGCACUUGGUCAAAGGAAACCGACAAACCAUAGUUGGCUUUGCUUUUGUUUUCGGUGGAGUUGAUUAGGUAGGGAAGGAAUGUUUUCUUUUGUGAGCAUGGAGUGAAGUUUCGAAUUGGCUUGUUUUUAUGCGUGGGGAGAGCCGCACAUUGGGGGAGUCAGUUUUUCUUCUUCUCUUCCGGCUGGGAAGAGAAGUUUUUAGUUUUGGAGUUUUCUCUAAAAAUAAGCUCCGUAGGAGGAUAGAGGAGUUUUUAGUUUUCUCUCCGAGGGAUGUUCCAGAGGAGAGAAUAGGGAGUUGUUUUGGUUUGUUGAAUUCUAGUGUGCAAUUUUCUUAUUCUCUUCCGAGAGCUUUGUUAUUCACUCUCUCAAUUAUCGAAGAAAGAUGAUGUCUUUAAAUUCAAUUGAAUUGUGUGAAGAUUUUCUUAUGAGGCGUGGCUAAUUUUCUCCUCUAGUCAAGGAUCAAUGCGAAGACGCAGUCCCAAUUAUCUGUGAGAUCUAAUUAAUUUUACGUGUUCCUUAAUUUAUUAAUAUUUGCAUGUUUUCUAUUUUAAUUUCCAUGGGAUUAUUUUGUUAAUUGGAUAUCAAGGGCCCGAUGUGCAAUUUGACUUUUUAAUCUCUUGUCAAAUUAAUCAAUUAAAUCCGUAAUUGUUUAGUUGGUUAAUAUUAGUGGCAACUAGUAUUUUCACAUACUAGGAGAACAUGCAAUCUGAUUUAAAUAACCCUCGUAGCGUGUUAUUAAUUUGGGUUAGGCUUUUCUAGUUUUUAAUGCAAUUAGGAAAUUAAUUCCUACGGUCGUACCUAGGAGUAUUUCCUGGUUAGAGGUAAUCAACGGUCGUACCUUGGUUAUCAAUAAAUUAAGGAAAAGCUGGUUGUUAGAGCUUAUCGGCGACUAUAACUAGCCUAUUAAUUAAAUUAAGUGAACCUUCUUUGCAUCAAUGAUCGAAUGAAUGGACUGUGUCUGCGUAGUUGUAUCCUUGGCUAGAAUUUAUUUAUUAUUUAUUUAAUUGUUAUUUACAAUUGUAUUAAUUAAUUAUUUAUUUUUGGUUAAAUUAUUUAAUUGUUUUUUAGUUAAAUUGUUUAAUUAUUUAUUUUAUAUUUCAUUUUGAUAAAAAUCCCCCGUGUCUCGAAUUUAAAAAGAAUCGAAUUUUUUCCCAGUCCCUGUGGAUUCGACCCUGCUUACUACUAUACACAGAAAAUUUAUUUUUCUUAAGCAGGUAUUUAUUAUUGCACAGGCACGACACCUGUCACUCUUACGACCAGGUCUUAGUAUUUUAGGCAUAUAUAAGCAUCCAGACUCCAAAUCACUUGAUUCUUGCAGCAUCGGAAAGCUAAUUGAAAUAUCUACAACUUUCAUGUUUUGAUCAAGAGUUGAUUCGGCCUUAUUGUUGGUGAUCUGGGCUUCAAAGGUGAUCUAUGUACGGAUUCGUACCGAUCCGCAGAUGGAUCCAUGACCGGUGUUGGAUAUCACCAAGGAAUUCCCGCCAAACAUCUUCAAAUUCUUUGGUGUUUUGAGAUUGGUCCAAUGACUGGUGCCGGACAUUGGGCCGAUCAUUGGGCUGGUCAUCAUCGAAAAAAUGCGCGAAAACGUGAUUUUUCAACUCUAAUAAAACCUAUUCCUACCUUGUUUAGGAUACAUCUUCAAGAAACUAUAAAUAAAGGUUCUUUAUGUCGUUUUGAGAGAGAAAACAUUAGGUUAGCAUUAGUUCAUCCUUUUUCCAUCUUCUUUUCUUGAGAGAUCCAGAAGAAAGAGUUGAAGAAUCAAAGAAGAAGAGCGAAACGGACAUCGAAGUAAGGGAAAUUGAGAAGUUUUCUUUACUUUUAUCUUUUUAUUUAUAUCUUUUCUUUAAAUUCUUGGUUUUAAUUAUGAAUAUGUUGAACUAAAUUAUAUCUAGGGUUACAGUUUUGUGAUGGAGUUUUGGAUUAUUUAUCUUAGUUAAAUUCUUAACUUUUGCCUUGAUUUAAUUGUAUAUUUGUGAUUGGCCAUCAUAUAUAUGCUCUUAGGGUUUGUAUUGAACCAAGAAGGGAUAUACAACCAUGCACUAGAUAGAUAAACAUACUUAGUCUAAUCACGAGAAUAGGUUAGGGUUUGUAUGAUACACUUAUAUCACCAAAGUUCUUAAUGGGUUUAAUUAAAUGCUUGUGAUUUCAAAAGAAACGUAGGAUUUAAUUAGGGAUACUUUAGAUGUAUUGAGAAAUAAUCUAAAAUACAAUUGUGUGAUGCAUUCAUGGUUUGUUAAGAAAUUAACUGGAUAAUUAAUUCAAACUUUAGAUCAAAACCUGAAACCUUAGUUUCUGCCAAUUGUUUUCUCACCUUUAUUAUUAGAUUUGAUUAUCUAUUUUCUUCUUUAAUUAGUUAAAAAUAAAUCGUUUGAAUUUUAUUAUUUGUCUAGAAUAAUUAAAGUAGAGAAAAUUAACUCAUUCUCGUGGGUUCGAUCCUGAAAUAUUCUAGGUGAUUUAUUACUGCGAUCGACCCUGUGCGCUUACAGGAAUUUGUCAAUCACCCUAUAAAGUAAAGGGAAACAUUAUUUGUACUCUAUUUUUUGUUAUUUGCACUUCCACCAUUUGUUUUAUCAUACAAUCUAAUAAAUGAAAAAUAUAUGAUUAAAAUGAUAGUGGGAGUAUGAUUAAAAAACAUAGGAGUGCAAAUAACAUUACAUGUAAGUAAAUUAUAUUUAUGUUUCUUUUUAACAUCAAAAGUUUCCUUUUUGACAUUCGAUAUACACUCUCCAUCCUAUUAAAAAUGUCCUACUUUUCAUUUUGGAAUGUCCUAAAAUGUUUUUCAUCACACCAAAAUUAAAGUUCCUUUUGAUCUCUUUUUUCAAUGUUAUCCCCACUAUUAUCUAUUUGAUAUUAAAUUUAAAUUUAGAAUUUUAAUUUUCGAGGAUAAUUUUAGAAACAAAACCAUUAACAUCAUCAUCAAGCCACUAUUUUUAAAGGUUCGAAUACAACUAAUUUGUGACGGAGGCAGCAACUCUUAAUUUUUUUCCUUUUUAUCUCAAAAUGAAACUACAAGUUCAAUGCUAAUACUUUUUUUCUUUUUUUUUUUCCAUUUCAAAACAAACCUGUAAGAUCACUCUUAAAUUUUACUCUUUUAUCAUCUCAAAACAAAACUUUGUGGUCACUCUUAACUCUUUCUCUUUUAUCAUCUCAAAACAAAACUUUGUGAUCACUCUUAAUUUUUUUUCUCCUUUUCAUCUCAAAACAAAACUUUGGGUAAGUUUUCAAUUAAUUUUCUUUCCUAAUUUGAGUGGCGUGGUUUUGGUCAUCAUUGGUGCAUUACAUCAUAAAUAUAAUUCGAUAAUUUCAUACAAUUAGCCUUUGAAUUAGUUAUUCAUACCACAAACCACCACACAUACACUCGUAUGUAUUCAUUCCAAAUGUGUUAGUUUUACAAUUCUUAGGAUAUAAUUCCUAGGUAUGUUUUGAUCCACAAUAUUAUUAAAAAGUCUUUCAACAUACUAGAUGCAGUCCAGUUAAAGAAACAGUUAAGAACUAAUUUAAAUAAAAGUCAAACUAUACAAGAGUAUUUUGUUUAAUAGGUUUGGUCAACGAGUGUCCUAGAGCAUGCGUUAUUAGUUAUUUUGAGUGUUAGCUAUUAAUAUUUUAGCAAAAGUGUAAUUAGUUCGGAAGAGUGAUGUGUGUAUUCAUACUGUAAAUUAGGUGCGAUUUAAGUGUUUUCAUGAGUUUCAGCACUCAUUAAAAAAUCCUUAACACAGUAAUCCUUGAGAGUGCAACUCCCUUUAAAUUAUCGGAAGGAAAAGGAAAAAACAAAGCCUGGCAAGAAACAAAAAAGUCUUCAACGUGUUUAAGCACCGCAGAAAAGUCUUCUAAGAAAAUUUGCACAACAAUUGCAGUGAACUUGACCCUCAAAUGUGAAAUCAAAUCAAGGCUGGAAAGAACACAUUACAAGUCUUCCCUGGCCCCCUAAGACGCCGAUUGGAAAGACCUUGACUUAGACUUUAAAAGCAGAGCUUUAAAAUUCACGCUACCUCAGAGUACUUAUCAGGAGGCCUAAAUUUCAUAUAUCUAACAUCGAUGGAGGUUGCAUGCAGCAAAGUUGUUCUUCUCCUGAUAUCGGCUACUGCACAAGCAGCAGGAGCAGCAAGAAAGCCUGCUCUUGGUUACACCGAAUACAGCGUAAUGGGUCUUAGCAUAUUUUUUGUGGUUUACUCACUAAUCGGUGGAUUACUAUGUUUAAUCCUCUGCAAAACUAAGGUCAAGAAAGUAGAAUCUGAGCCCUUAGACAACAAACAUGGAGAUGUUUUCAGAAUGUUGAACUAUGAUGGACAUAUGGCUUAUGAAGACAUAAUAAAAGCAACAAGAGGUUUUGAUGUCAGUUAUUGCAUUGGGAGAGGGGAUUAUGGCAGUGUGUACAAAGUGCAAUUGCCAAGUGGGAAAGUAGUGGCUGUGAAAAAGCUUCACCAUUUGGAAGGCAAGAAUCCAAAUUAUAAUAAGAGCUUUAGGAAUGAAGCCCGCAUGCUAUCCAGAAUCCGGCAUCGAAACAUUGUAAAGCUCUUUGGAUUCUGCCUGCACCAGAGAUCCAUGUUUUUUAUUUAUGAGUAUAUGGACAAGGAAGCUUGUUUUGUAUCUUGAGAGAUGAAAUUCAAGGUGUGGAGCUAGAUUGGAUUAAGAGAUUGAACUUGAUAAAUGGCAUUGCCAAUGCAUUGUCCUACUUGCAUCAUGAUUGUGAUCCACCAAUCAUUCACAGGGAUGUAUCAAGCAACAACAUUCUUUUGAAUUCACAGCUUAAAGCAACUCUAUCUGACUUUGGAACUGCAAAGAUUUUGAAACCUGAUUCCUCGAAUCAGACAGUAAUUGCAGGCACCUAUGGUUACAUUGCACCGGGUAUUUACCUUCUUAUUCCUAGAACACUUUCUUUUUUUCGCCUUGUUUCUGUUAUUUUAUCUCUGCACGUAUCAGGUUUAACUUCUACUAGAAAGAAAAAAGCAAAAAAGACCUGUAACUACAUAUUAUUGUUUUGCUGAACAGCAAGGUGUAGUACACGAUGUAUGGCUUAAAUUUUCGAAUAUUGAAAGGAUUGCAAUUGGAUUACUAGCUAGGUUUGGCAGCCUAGGAUUGUCCAGCUGAGAAUAACUUUAUUUUAUCCGCUACUUAUAAUUGCAGAGCUAGCCUAUACCGUGGCGGUCACUGAAAAGUCUGAUGUGUAUAGCUUUGGUGUUGUGGUACUGGAAACAUUGUUCGGAAAGCAUCCACAAGAUUUCCUUUCUUGCAUAUCCUCACAACCCAAUGAACCAAUAAUGAUGAAGGAUCUUCUUGAUGCCCGUCUGCCCCCUCCGACUAACCCUUUGGUCGUUCGAAAUGUGGUUGUCGCGACAGCGUUGGCCCUGGAUUGCGUCAACGCAAACCCGAAAUGUCGACCAACAAUGCAGCAAGUGGUGAACCGAUUUGAAGUGGGCAGGCGAGAAUCAACUAGGCCUUUGCACACCAUUGCUGUGAAUCAGUUUAUAAAAGUAGAAACAUGACCAAGCACUGAGAUCAUUGCAUAUACCAUAUAGUGUACUAAUAAAAAUAGAAAAAAAAAGUGUAGUAAUUAAUGAAAAGGAACUCUUAUAUGCCGAUUAAAAGCCUAGGAAAUUUUGUCAUCAAUAUCUAAGCCAAAGGAGAUUCUACUUGUUGGGCUUUAUUUCCAGAUUUAUACUUGAUUCUUCAAAACUUUAUAAAGCGAUCAUACCGUCUACUCAUCUAAUUAACUGAGUACAUGGGGAGCUAUAAAGUGGAAUAUUUUGUUUCACCAUGUGAAGGGCAUCAUAAUAAUUUUUUUCUUUUUACCCAAAUAAGUAUUAUUUGUGCUAAUACUCCUAAUGCUUAUAGAUGUGAUUAACGAAUCAACUGCUCUACUUGCAGGCUACUUGGCAAGUUUAAAAUAGUACCAUUAUUCUUUUGGGAUCAAAAUUGUAUAAAUUUCGUCAAAAGUGAAAAUAACUACUUCUUGAACGAACUGGGCAUAAUCAACUAGAAAGGAAGGCAAGGACCCAUAAAGACAUAUCAUGCUGUACCGCUGAAGUUGUCGAUUGGGUCUAUUCGUGGGCAUGACAAAUACUUACAUGGACCACAGUCCACGAAACCCAACAGGCAUCGUCCAAAUUUUCUCUCCACGUUUCUACCUGAACAACUUUGACAUCCGAUAGGAAACUCAAUAAUAUCAUGUUUUUGGAAAAUAGAAACAUUGGAAAGGAAAGAUGGAACCGUCAUCCAAGUUGAAUGAAAAGAAAUAUUGGAAAGCAUUAUGGAAGUUGGAUGUUCCUCCGAAGCUUAAAUGUUUUGCAUGGAGGUUGAUCAUGAAUAUCUUACCCACAGCGGUGAAUUUGAAGAAAAAGAUGCAGGGCUUUUAAUUCGUCAUGCCCUUGUUGUGGAGAGCAGCAGGAACAUGAUCGUCAUGUUUUCUUUGACUGCAAAUUUGCAAGACAAUUUUGGGAUCUCACAGACUUGUCCAUAGACUUUCAAAAGAUUAAAGCAUCAUGCAUGAAGGAACUCAUGGGAAUUAUUUUUGAAUCUGGUGAUAAAAUAGAAAUACAGAGUUUUGUAAUGACACUUUGGAUGAUCUGGCAUGCAAGGAACAAGCUCGUAUUUGAGGGAAUUUGCAUGAAGACAGAGGUGAUAGUGGACUGGGUGAGGGCAUAUCUAUGGGAAUUAAUCAAAGGAAUAGAAACAUGACCAAGCACUUAAAUUAUUAUUCUCUCUGUCCGAAAGAAAAUUGACAAAAGGGGAGAAAAAGUUUAAUUUAAGUACGUAAAUUGUUUUGAGUUGUUAUGAAUAGAAAAUUGAUAACAUUGAAAACUUUAAAAUUUUGAUCACAUUUAAUAGUGGUGAAAAAGUUUUUUUUUCUUUUUUUGGACGAUCAAUAGUGAUUCCCCACUUACCUUCAUGAUUGAUUUAAAUUCGUAACCUCUCAAUUAAAGGUGAAGUAUCUUACCAAUUAGGCUAUGCUUCAUUGUUAGAAACAAGAUUUGAAUGGUAAAAAAUAAUAGGGAAAUAUCUUUAAAGAGCGUGAUUUGGGCGAGGUAAUUGAGGAAAGUUUCAAUAAUGGUGAGAUAAUUUUCAAUUGUAAUUCAUCAAAAUAUAAAAAAAUCUGACCAAUAAGCUGACAGAGAAUCAUUCAAGAGUCUCAUACCAAAAAAAAAAAGUUUAAAAAAAAUAGUCUCAUACAAAGAUAAACUCAAUUUCAUUUAAUAUUUGUUCCAAAUUGUAGGCCUAUUUCCUUUUUAAAAGAGUAGUUAUCUUGAUAGUUUACUAAUAUGCCUACAUUUACUAUGUAAUAUUAUCAGCAAAAAUAUACUACUCCAUUAGUUAAUUAUUCUAGUUAGGAGGAAUAACAACACCGCCAAAAAAUAUAGAGCUGGAUUGUUUGGUAUCUUGAGAGAUGAAACUGAAGCUAUGGUGCUGGAUUGGAUUAGAAGAGUCAAUUUGAUCAAGUGCAUUGCCCAUGCAUUGUCCUACGUAGAGAUUCUUUUAAGAAUUGGACCGGUAAAAAUUCUCUUUUUGAUGGUGGACCGAAGUAUCAAAGUGUUAAGGAGUUUGGCUAGUGUUGGACCAAGUGCGCCAUGGGUUUGGCAGGGGGUCCAGUGGAUCAGGUGCAUCAUGGGUUUGACGGGAGGUCCGGUCGGUUAGACCAAGGAGUCAAAGAUUGGCAGGGUCUGGAAUGUAAUUUGGAUGUUGAAAAAGAGUGGGUCCAUAAAUGGGAAAAGAGGUGACCUUAAGUAAUAAGGUGGGCUUGCAUUGAGAAUUAAAGUAAAUUUGGAUACAAUAAUUUGUUUGGAGGGAUAGAAGAUAAUAAAAGUCAGGUAUGUGACAAAUCUGCACAAAUGGAAAAUUGCGGUCGUUACAUCUCACAACUUGCUUACACAUAGGGCUGCAAACGAGCCGAGCCGAGUCGAGCUUUGAGCUAAUCGAGCCGAGUCUCGACUAAAUUUUACCAAGCUCGAGCUCGAGCUCGAGCUCGACGAGCUGGCAAUUUUCGAGCUCGAGCUCGAAAAAAAUAAAAAAAAUUAUUUUAUUUUUAAAAAAAUAAAAAAAAUAAUAUUUUUUUCUGAAUAAAUAAUAAAAUAUUAAGGAUAUAUACGUAAUUUCGCUAUGAAAAUAAAAAAUUAAAAUAUAUUUAUAUAUAAUAUACGUAAUUUUAUUAUUAAAUAAAAAUAAAAAAUAUAUAUAAAUAUAUAUACUCAAGCUCGCGAGCCGGCUCGCGAGCUAACGAGCUUAAUAAUCUGAGCUCGAGUUCGAGCUCGAGGUUGACUCGAGCUGGCUCGAGCUCGACUCGAGCUCGAUUAAUCUCGAGCUCGACUCGAGCUUGACUCGAGCCGCUCGCGAGCGGCUCGAUUCGUUUGCAGCCCUACUUACACACAAUCUAUGACCACCAUUUUGAUAGAAGAGUUUUCUUUUUGUCGAUCUUUAUGUUCCUUUUAUAUUUUCUCUUUACCUUCUUUCUUAUUUAUUUUAAUGGUCACAUGAUAUGACAAUUUCCCUCAAAUGGGAAGGUAGAUUUAGUAAACUAAUUUAUCUAUCGGUGCCAAAAUGCUAAAAUUGUCAAAAACUAAAAUAUUUUAGUGGUGUAAUUGUCUUUACAUAACAUAACAGAUAAAGAUAGAAGUUGUUGUAUGCCAAACAGGAAUUGGACUUCGGGAUUAUUUUAUGUCUAUUUCGUGGAUACGGAAGACGAAUUAAAACCAAUAUCUAAUUAUGGAAGGGCAAGAUAUAUUUAAGCCUUUUUGUAAUGUCAUUUUUUCCUAUCAAACAACAUAUACGUGCCACCAAAUUUUCUACCCUCGUCACGAGACUCUCAAACAAUGCCAAAGAAAGUUCUGAUACUUUCUCUUUAUUCUUUGUUCUUUUACUGUUAAUCACAUUUAUAAGAUCUGGCAUUAGAUUUACCACAAAACUAAAGAGGACACUAUAGAAUUCAAAUUUAGGAUUCUAAUGAUAGUAAAUACGUGUAGGGUUAUAAAAUUGAAGAGAAAAAUAAUUACUCAAAAUAUUUAUGUGGGAGAAAAGAAGAUAAAUAAUUCACACUGUUAUUGAUAAGUUAUAUCAUAAUAAAACACUACAGAUACUCUUUUAAAAAAUACCUCAACUAAUGUCCUAUUUUAUAACCAAUCAGACUUAUAAAAUAAGAAAUUACUAUGUCAAGAAAUUAUCAAGUAAAACACAAAUUAUUAAAUAGGAAAACUACUAAAAACCCAUAAAACACAUGGCUACGAACCAUGGUGUUGAGGUUCAAAUCCCUUCUCGCUCACAACCGGCCCAAGAAAGAAGGGUAGAAUGGUGGGGAUAGCGAACUAAAAUUCCUUGGUAUUUUCACGAGUCAAGUUCGAGCCAUGGUAUUUUCACUUGAUCGAGCUCGAGUCCGAGUAGCACACAUAUCUAUCGAGUUCAAACUCGAAUGUGGUGCUACUCGAGCUCGACUCGACUUUAAUACACUCCUGGUACAGGCCUGGGCCUUGAUGUUUUCUGUUUCUAGUAGCACCAAGGCCCUGAUGUAUUGUAAAGCUUAUACAUAGCGUCCAUAAGGUUUUGAAUCUUAUGGCUUGUAAAGCUUGUAGUAGCCAUAAGCUUGUAGCAUCGCCACGGUUUGUAGUUAUCCAUCAGGCGAUUGUACUCUACUAAGCAAUAUUUCUGUCCCAAAUGCAAAUAGAGUCAUUGACUCGGAUUUAAGUUUCUGAAGUCUGAGGACCAACGUGUAAGAAAGGUCGCACAACAACUUCUAUUCUAGUGAAGACAGAUCUUUACUCUCAAAAGUGAAAUCAAAUCAAGACCAGAAAGAACACAUUUUUGCAAUUCUUCCACACAAUAUAUAGAUUGGAAAGACCUUGACUAAGACUUUAAAUGCAAGUCUUUUCAUAUAUAUAUCAUGUGGUCUUGUACAGUAACAUCGAUGGAUGUUGUACGUAGCAUGGUUGUUCUUCUCCCGAUACCAGCUACUGCGCGAGCAACGGAAGCAGCAACAAAGUCUAUCUGCUCUUGAUUACAGCAAAAAGCACGUAACGGGUCUUAGCAUGUAAUCUUUGUGGUUUACUCAUUAAUUGGUGGAUUACUAUUUCUAAUCCUCUGCAGGUCCAAGGUCAUGAUCAAUUUAAGAGAGAGCAACGAAAUUAAAAGGCAACAUCAUGCAUUUAAAACUUGAAUAGUAUAUCUUAUGCGUUACUAAUUAUUGUAACAUUGAUUUUGGCUUUCAAAAUUUGACCAAACAAUUUUCAUUUUGGGGAAAACUAAUCACAUAUAAGAUCAUGAUCAUAUGUAGACCUAUGCUAUGCACAAGAGAAACAAAUAACCGUGUAAUUCACUUUUCAAAAUUGGUGUCCAAAAAAGAAUUAUUGACAAAAUAUCAAGAUUGUGCUGGUCGGUCUACACAUCAUACCUAUUAUUACUAUAUCAUUUAUGACAUCAAAUGCUGCAUUUCGUGUUGCACAUUUUAAUCAAUUACACUAAUAAACAUUUAACUGUGCGCUUGUUAGUGAGUUAAAUGCCUAUGACCAGAUAGACCUAGUUAGGUAUGUCUGGACUAAAUCUAUAGAAAUGCAAACGAAGAAUCAUUACAGUUUAAACUCAUAUGUCUUAGCGUUCACAUGUCACGAAUUUGAUUGCCCAUAGAAGGCAAAAGAGAUUAAAAAAAAAAGAGUAUUGAAUUACUGGCAGCGAAAUGUACUUUUUAAGACCGAAACAUUACUAAUUUGCUCCCUUUCUCGCUAGUCUCAAACAACAAAAACGAAAGUUCUUGGAUUUUUAAAAUGCGCAUAUCACAUUGCUUUUAACAAUCCGUGUGAAUGAUGCAGAUUGGAAAGAUACUACUGGCUUGACUCCAUUUUAAAUGCGAGUUUUUCAGUCCAGACUACAUAAUCAGGGCGGGCGCUUACAUUUCAUCUAUCUUGUGUUAAUUACGGUCUUUCAUGGUACUAGCAUCGAUGGAUGUUGUAUGCAGCGGAUUUGUUCUUCUCAUGAUACUGGCUAUUGCACCAGUAGCGGCAGCAGCAGCAAAGGAGUCUGCUGUGAAUUUAUUGGAAGCUGAAGCACUGCUCAAGAGUGGCUGGUGGCGAGACGAUACUGCUGCAAGAAACGUCUCUGCCCACUGCCAGUGGCGUGGUAUCAUUUGCAACGAUGCUGGUAGUGUUACCGACAUACUACUUCCAAACUACGGAAUUCUGGAUGGCUUGACAAAUUUCAGCUUCUCUUCUUUUCGGAACCUGGUUAGACUAGAUCUCAGUGGAAAUAACUUUUACGAAGCUAUCCCAUAUCAAACAGGUGCACUCUCCAAACUCACCUAUCUCAAUUUGUCUUUAAACGAUCUUCAUGGCCAGCUCCCUUCUUCUCUAGUAAACCUUACACACCUAGCACAACUUGAUGUUUCUUGGAACUGGAUUGGAGGUUUAAUUCCUCCAGGUAUCGGAAACUUGACAGAUUUGGUUACUCUAGAUUUGAGCCAGAAUUGCUUUUGGGGCCGCAUCCCACCAACUCUUGGCCACUUGUCCAAUCUGGCCUCCAUUAACCUCAGCAAUAACUACUUCAGUGGGACAAUUCCUUCAGCUCUUUUUAAUUUGACAAAUCUUUCCCGGCUAGACAUUCACUUCAAUCCUGCAAUGGGAGGAUUUCUCUCAGAAGAAAUAGGAAAUUUGAAGAGUUUAGUUGAAUUAGACUUCAGUGGCCUUAAUCUUUCAGGAGCCCUCCCUUUAACUCUUUGCCGCCUAACCAAACUAGUAUCUCUUUCAGGUGCUGAGAAUCAAAUUCAUGGUUCCAUUCCCUCUGAAAUAGGAAAUUUGAAAAUUUUGGAACAUCUUGUCCUUGGGUCCAACCGGCUGACUGGUCAAAUCCCUCCGACCCUUCGCAAUCUGACUACUCUAGUUACUUUGAACCUCUCUUCUAACCAAAUAAGUGGUUCCAUACCUCUUCAACUUUCCGGUAUACCUUCUCUAACAUUUCUAGAUCUUUCCUAUAAUGCUUUGGAAGGUGAACUUCCGUGUGAGCUUGUCACUAAGUUUGGUUCAGAAAAUUUUGUCGGCAAUCCAGACUUGCAUCACGAUUCCACUCUUUGUGGCGAUCACAGACAUCACCCCCCAUACUACAUCAUAGGUCUUGGCGUGUCCUUCUUGGUGUUCUCAUUAAUUGGCGGAUUAGUGCUUUAUAUCUUCUGCAAAACCAAAGUCAAGAAAGUGGAACUUGAGCUGAUGGACAAUAAACACGGAGACAUUUUCAGAAUAUGGAACUAUGAUGGACAUAUGGCUUAUGAAGACAUAAUUAAAGCAACAAACGAUUUUGAUGUCUGUUAUUGCAUCGGGACAGGGGGUUAUGGCUCUGUAUACAGAGCUCGGUUGCCAAGUGGGAAAGUAGUGGCUUUGAAAAAGCUUCACCGUUUGGAAGGCGAGAAUCCAAAUUUUGACAAGAGCUUUAGGAAUGAAGCCGACAUGCUAUCUAAAAUCAGGCACAGGAACAUUGUAAAGCUCUUCGGAUUCUGCCUGCACAAGCGAUGCAUGUUUCUGAUUUAUGAGUAUAUGGACAGAGGAAGCUUGUUUUGUAUCUUGAGAGAUGAAACUGAAGCUGUGGAACUGGAUUGGAUUAAAAGAGUGAAUUUGAUCAAGGGCAUUGCCGGUGCAUUGUCCUACUUGCAUCACGAUUGUGAUCCGCCAAUCAUUCACAGGGAUGUAUCAAGCAACAACAUUCUUUUGAAUUCACAGCUCGAAGCAACUCUUUCUGACUUUGGAACUGCGAGGAUUUUGGAACUUGAUUCAUCAAAUCAAACGGUCACUGCAGGCACCUUUGGUUACAUGGCACCAGGUAGGUUACCUUGCUAUCCCAGAUCCCUUUCUGCUUUUCACCUUGUUUUUCAUAUUUUCUUGAUGCACAUUUUAGGCUUAACUUUCAAGAACAGAAAAGAAAAAAAAUUCUUCCAACUGAAACGAUUAUUAUUAUUAUUUUUGGAAUAGUAAGUCUAGAGUUGUCCCAGUUGAGAUUAACUUUAUCUGUAUCCAAAUAUAUACUUACUUGUCAAUGCAGAGCUAGCCUAUACCAUGGCGGUCACUGAAAAGUCCGAUAUGUAUAGCUUUGGCGUUGUGGUGCUGGAAACGCUGUUUGGAGAGCAUCCACGAGAAUUCCUUUCGUUCAUAGCAUCACAACCCAAUGAACCAAUAAUGUUGAAGGAUCUUCUUGAUGCCCGUCUGCCCCCUCCGACUAACCAUUUGGUCGUUCGAAAUGUGGCUGUUGCAACAGCGUUAGCCCUGGAUUGCGUCAACACAAACCCGAAAUGUCGACCAACAAUGCAGCAAGUGGUGAACCGAUUUGAAGUGGGCAGGCGAGAACCAACUAGGCCUUUGCACGCCAUUGCUGUGAACCAGCUUGUUAGUCCACCAGUACUUUCACUGCCUGACCAAACCUGCGCAGAUGGGAGGAGUAGCUCAAGCACCAUAAAUGAAUUCCAUGUGGAUAUCUCUGCGACUCUGCCAUCAUCCAAUUUUUCUAUCCAUGUUUCUACCUAAACAACUUUGAUAUCUGGUAGGAAACAGAAUAAGAUCGUGCUUUGCAAAAAUGGAAACUUGGCCAAGCACUUAGAUUGCUGCUACAUACGGCCAUUUGGUGUGCUAAUGAAAAAAAAAGUGUACUCAUUAAUGAACAAGUAGUUCAAGCACCAUGGAUGACUUUCAUGUGGAUAUCUCUGCCAUAUCCAAUUUUUCUAUCGAUGUGUCUACCUACCUAUAAUAUUUAUACCGAAGGAGAAUUUAUCACUUGUCUUUAUUUAUGUAGGUGAAUUCUAGGCAGAGCAACACUUACCAAUCUAACAAUUUGCAAUUCCAAGUCUAGAUUUAAAGAAAUAUUAGUUUAAGGAUUCAAAUAUACAAAACUCAUGCCAAAAAUGAUAGGAUCAGGUCAAUCCAAAGCUGUAUUUUUAAAAAAAAUAAGUUGCAUAAAUUCAAGCUUGCAUAGCCUAUAGGGAUAAUUUCAAAAACCUCCCUUGAAAUUUUUGACAAUUGCAGAGAUCUCCCCUCAAGUUUAUUAAAUUACACCUACCUCCCUUGCUUUUACUAUUUAUGUAACAAUAUAGGCCAAAAGGUGAUAGGUUGUAAUUUUAUCAUUUAUUUUAUAAUUAAUUUUCCCUAUUACCUGACUCUAUGUGAAUUAAUUGUUAGAUUCUACUCACUUUUAGUAUUUUGCAUUUAUUUCAGGGAGUAGAACGAAAAUAUGAUAACAAGUGCCAAUUUAAUAAAAAAAGAGUCCAAAUAAUAAAGCUUAAUCCAGGGGCAUUUUUGGAACAGGGAAACUUAUUCCCAUGUUGGUAAUUGCUACAAAGGCAAGGACGGCGCAGGUUUUCUGGGAGAGCUGGAGCACCACACAGGAGGUCCUCUCCGCAAGGAGGCCGGCGGCACGGUGCAGAGAGGCUACUAAAGACGAAAUAGAAAUUGCAGAGGAAAGGCAAUAGCUUUAGCUUAGUUUUUGAUGUUUUCUUUUCAUGUUUCUUGGUAGGACCCCUCCUGCACAUGUCUGGGCAAUUAGGAAAGCUUUGACUUUUCUUCAGUUGCACUCUUAGUACUUUCUUUUCCUUCUCCGUAUGUCAUCCCAAGUGAAACAGAGAAUCACUUCUUCUAACUUUGCUAUCUCUUUUUGAUUGGAACGGAUUGAAUUCUCAAAAAUCAGUGACAAUGGCCGCAGCUUUCUCUUCAAUUUUAUAUGGGUUUUGUUCAUUAAAUAUGAACUAAUUUCUCCACUCUAGUCAAGAAAUGACGGAUGCUUUGGGUCGCUUAAAAUUGUGAGAUCGAUUUAAUUUUAUUUUUUUCUUUUAUUUAUUGGUAUUCGCAUAUUCCUUGAUUGUAAUGCUUAUGAUUAUUUAAUUAAUUGAUUGUCUUGGAUCCGGAUAAUUAGUUAAUUUGGUAAUCGAUUGUCAAUUAGGACAUUAAAUCCGUAAUUGCUUAAUUGCCCUAAAAUAGUGACAAUUGGCACGAUUAGAUUCGUAUCAGGGGGAUACGCGGGCUAAUCUGAAAUAACCCUGGUAGUGUGUUAUUUGGUUAGAAUAGGACUCCUCUAAUACGUAAGGCAAUUGGAGAAUUAAAUCUUAUGAGUGUACCUAGAAUUGUUUUUCAAUUAGAACAGUGAUUAACGGGCGUACCUUGAUCACCGACACAGUAAGGAGGGGUUGACUGUCAUCGUUUGUUUGGCAGUUAUAACCUAUUUAUUAGUAAAUAAUUGGAAUUGCUUUUGCAUCGAUGAUCAAUUAGGUGAACUAUUGCUAAAGUUAUUUCUUGGCUAGACCUUUAAUUAUUAUCACUCUGAUUUUAGUGAAUUGUCAUUUAAUUUGUAGUUAGCUAUUUAUUUUUAUUUGAAUUUAUUUGAUUGGCACUUUCCACACAAAAACACCCCCUGAUUACUGUGAAUUUGAAAAGAAGCAGCUACACCCAGUCCCUGUAGAUUCGAUCAUGCUUACCACUAUUUACAAAAAUUAACUUUAGUUGAGCAGGUCUUUAUUAUUGCACAGGCUGAUAACCUGUCAAAAGGCUAUAUUUUUUUUUUCAAAAAUCCUAAACUACCCUUUUUGUAUAAAAAUAAAACAAAAAUUAUUUUGCCAAUUCCUUUCUUUCAUAUUUCAACCGAACCCACUGUACUAACAAACUAACCUAACAAAUAGUCUAAUUCCAAAUUCUAAACUCAAGUAAUUCCAGCAUCAUAGUUAUAAAAUUGCUUCUCCCAAAGCAUGCAUUCAAUUUUGAAGAUUCGUUCCAUUCUUCAAAAAUAUUCUCACCAUAUGGUUACAUGGAACGGUCAAACUCACAAUUAACUGUUCUUAUGUUUGCAUAAUCUUUAAUAUAGGAUGCCAUGGUUUGAUUCCAUAUAAGUAGUUUAACUCCUACUACAUGAGCCACAUUGUGGUCUUGAAGAAAAUCCUUAGGGAAGAUUUAGGUAUGGAUGGGAUUAAUCAAGUUUAAAAAAAGGAAAGGCAUCAUUAUGACUUUAGAGAUCUUCAAAAAAUUCAUUGUGCCAAAAAUCAAAAUUCUAUUGACAAUUAAUUACACCCCAAACUUCAAACCUAAUGCCCACACUUUCUCAAAACAAAAUAAUUUAGCCUACUAUUAUAUCUCCAAACAUGUUAACGUUUUAAAUACAGAGAAGAAACUCUAUCUUCAUAACGAAAACACAACCAACAAUUGUCAAGCAUAAAAAGAAACAGGGUAAAAUACCAAAAACCCCCCUGUGGUUUGCCAAAUGUACAUUUUACCUCCCUAUAGUUUGAAAACCUACAAUUUAACUCUCUGUCGUUUCAACUAAAGUAAAAGUCUGACAGAAAACAUCUAAACUAAUGUCUGAAUGGAAAAUGUCAAAAUUGCCUCUCUAUAAGUCAAUUCCUCGGAAGAAUGUUUCGUGCAUUUGAGAAUGGGUAAAAUACCAAAAAUCCCCUUGUGAUUUGCCAAAUAUACACUUUACCUCCCUAUGGUUUGGAAACACAUAGGGUAUCAUUGGCAAGUGAAAAUAUUAUCGCAACCACAACUCUCAGCAGGGGUGCGUGACACUCAAAUACCGUUAUUGUAGAUAUUUUCUGUCAGACUUUCACUUUAGUUGAAAUAACAGGGAGUUAAAUUGUACAUUUCCAAACCAUAGAAAGGUAAAGUUUACAUUUGGCAAACCACAGGGGGGUUUUUGGUAUUUUACCCAAAGAAAUAUAAAUGUACUUAUUGACAUCUUAAAAGAUUUUUUGGAUGGAUGAUAGACAAAUUAGCAAAUUUAUCAAUUUUAAACGCUCUCCCUCUUUUGACCAAUGAUUGCAUUAUUUAUUCCAUUAUUAUUGUGUGUCUCUUCAUUUCCUUUUAAUUUGACCAAUCUCUUAAAUAAACUUGUGAUUUGACAAUUUCAAAAAGAAGAAAAGAGAAAUAGAAAUAUAUAGUAGGGUGUGAUUGGCUGCAAUUAUAGGUAAUGGUUGGUGGUAAUUUGAGAGCGAAUUAUAGGAAGAAGGGGUUGAUGAAUGAAAACAGAAUGCUAGUAAGCGAGAGAAUCGUCGUUAGCUGUAACUUGUAAACAGGAUAGCCGAAAAGGUUAAGUUUCUUUUUCUUUUUUUUUAAAUCUCAUUUCAUUAUACUAUGAAUUAUUUAUUAAGUGAAGGUCAUUAUAGUCAUAUUAUUGUGACAAGAGAGGUUAGUGUAAUUUGUAAAACUUGAGGGGAGCCAAGUGAAAUUGUCAUAACCUCAAGGGAGGUUUGUGAAAUUAUCCCUAACCUAUAACCUCAUUUAAAAUUUGAACUCUAAAUAUGUAGCAUGCAUUUGCCUUUACUAGUUAAAAGAGAAAAAGGAAUUUCACACGUAAGAAAUUAUUGAAACAUAAAUGGUGCAAACUUUCUUUUUUUAAAAAAAAUUAAUAUAAAUGUGCGAGUUUUUAUCAAUCUCUAGUUUGCCAUAUAAACAUAGAAUGAUUUUCAUAUGAAUUUAUUAUAUCACCUAGUAGUUUUAAUUCACUAAACUCAACCACAGAAAAGAAAAAACAGGAACAUCAAGUUUCGAAAUAUGGAACCUAUAUUCAGCGGGCUACUAUUUUGGUGCUUAUGACCCCAUAAGUCGAUUGCUGCAAUUUUUUACUUCCUCCUAGGAUGGCCCCAAAAAAAAAAAAAAAAAGAGUUUCCCGGUUGCUCAUCAAUUGAGGAAAACGCUGGUGAUUCCCUUUUUUUUUUUUGAGGAAAAAGCUGGUGAUUCCUUAUUGCUUCCUGGAUUUUUAACCUAAAGUGUAUAAUAGCUUGAGAAAACGUUGUACUAUUAAGGGUCCGUUUGUUUCGGGUGAAAAUGUUUUUCAGAAAAAUAUUUUUCUAAUUUUCCGUGUUUGGUUGCACAAAAGUUACUGAAAACAUUUUUCUAUGUAAAAUAUUUUCACUCAUCUUAUGGAAAACAACUUCCCUUCCAAACUUACUGAAGUUGUUUUCCGAAAUGCAUGCAUCCCGCCUGUAGUAUGUUUCAAACUUGCUGAAAACAUCUUGUAGUAUGUUCUUUUUUUUUUUUAGUGUAAACAGGAGGACUCGAAUCCAAGACCUCUUCCUUACACUCCCUCCCCCGUACCACCCAACCCAACCCUCCCCCUAGUAUAUUCAAAAUAAAAAAAAAACUCCACCCUGCUCAUCCUAUGCUAGUAAUUAAUUAUGUAUAAUAGGGACAUUCUUUUCUAGAAAAACUUCCAGCAAUAAGAGUGUAAGAUAUAUGUUACAAUAAGCAUUGCAUGUGAUUGAUAUUUGACACUAAAUGACCAGCAAUUUGUUUAUUGUUUAAAGAGAUAUUUUUUAUUCAUAUAUACAUUUCUCCAAAAUUUUUUAAAGUUAAAUAAUGAGAUAAAUUUUCUUAUUUUAUAUGGGAAGAAGUAUGUAGUUAUAAUGUGUAGAAAGUAAAGAUAGAGAUAAAAGUGAAAAUAUUUCAAAAGUUAAACAAACACCAGAAAAAUGAAGUAAAAAAAUAUUUUCAAUAAGCUAACCAAACACUUGAAAAUGAUGAAAGGGAAAUGAUUUUCAUGAAAAAUUACUUCCACGAAAAAUAUUUUCCCAAGGAAAAUAUUUUACUUCUAACCAAACAGACCCUAAAAGAAAUUCUGGAGCACAUCAAGUACCCCAUAGCAUCCAAGUAAAACAGCGACUUGAUAUGUGCAAGGAGGCAGGGGAGGUGGCUGUUGGGUUGGAGUGGAGUGGACAUUUGCGUUGGGUUAGUGGGCUUAUUAAGUUGUUUACAGAAUGGUUGGUAAAAAAAAAUUAUGGUUGGGUGUGCAGAUGGUUGAUGAUACUGUUAUACCUGGUACGCAUUCAGAAUCUGCUUCUAAGAGUAGAACUGAUAUUUUGAGUAAUCUUGACCUUUCUUCAUAUGUGAACCAAGGAAUGCCUCUGCCUGGGUGUAUUGUUCACCAAGAAACCUAGUCUCAUGUUUCUGGUAGAUUCGAUGAUUAAAAUGGUUCUUGCAAAUAUACUUUUGGAAGAAAUUGGUGGCCACCUUCUGGUUCAUUUGCCGCCAACCAUCCAGUUUGACCUGCUUAUGGAAGAAGUUGGAGGCCAUGAUAAUUGAAUGCAGGAUCUGUAAACUGCUGUAAAUGAAUGCUAGCAAAGUUUUAUCAAUUAAUGUGUAUAUUGCUCCUCAUAGUCGAAAUAGUGAUGCCUCCCUGCUGACAAAUUGACCAUCUUAUAUUAGCUUUUGGAAUUUGGAAAUCUUCUGGUUGCUUGCAAGCUUCUUAACAUACAUUGUAGGAUAUACUAUACUUCUUGUACAUGUAAAAAUUUUCAGGAGGUGCAAAAAAAGACACUUGGUUUAUAAUUCUAUUUUACAACAAAAAAAUGCAAAAAUAAAUAAACAAUUAUUAUGUAGUUAGCUAAUUUGGCUUUUCUUUUCUUAGCUAACCAUAUGUUCCAAAGCAAACAUUCUGGUAUAAAAAGCUAUACGUGCAAGUAUUGUGCAUGAAUGGAAAUAUAGAAAUAUAUUAGUAGAAGGCUAAUAGAAAGUUAAGUUAUGCUAUAAAUGUUAUGCACUUAUUAGGUUAGAUCCCAUCUCCCUUUAAUUUUUUUAUUAUUAGAAAAUGAUAAACAGUAUUAGCAGAUGUAGUUUUGUAAGUUCCAUAGAAAACCUUAGGGCUUCACACUGUUAUAAUUUUGUUAAAUUUUUGGACAAUUUUGCCCUCCCUUUACUCCCAUGACGGUGAAGUUGCUAAGCCUUAGUUACAAUUUUUCUUCCUAUCCAUCCCUUCACCCAUGAUCCGAUAUCACUACUCCAAAACCCAAACAUCCAAUACCAAUGCGAAUGCUUCACUCAUACUUUUGCUUCCUCAUUUCUGGCUUGAGAUUAGAUGAUCAAGCUAUACACAGUACACACCAAUUCUUAAAGAGGUUGGUACUCGAAGAAAUUCCGGAGAAGUUGAGAAGCAGAAACCAACCAUGAUAGUAAAGUGGGCAAGGGAAAGCCAUGCAAACAUGCCCAUUGAUUGUCGACAAACCCUUAGUCAUCAUUUGGUUUUUGAUUAGACAAAUAUGAACUCAGCAUUUGUUUCAUGUAAUGAUAGCCAUAAAGGAAUCUUGAAGGCUAGAAAGAUUUCUCGUGACUCUCUCAAAAGAAAGAAAGUUCUGAUGCUUCUUUUCUUUUUUUGUCGUAACUUAGGUCAUUCUUUCUUUUAGUCUCCUAAACUGACAAGCUAAUUGUCUCCCAUUUCACGGUUCUCAAACAACAGUGACAGGGUGUCGACACCUGUGCAAUAAUAAAAACCUACUCAAACUAAAAGUAAUUUUUGUAGAUAGUGGUAAGUAGGGUCGAAUCCACAGGGACUGGGAGUAAUUGUUUCUUUUCAAAUUCACAGUGAUAAGGGGGUGUUUUUAUGCAGAAGGCGACAAUCAAAGUAAAUCAAAUAAAAUCUAAGAAACUACUAGAAAUUAAAUAACAAAUUACUAAAAUCAAAUGAGUGAUAAUUAAGGAUCUAACCAAGGAAUAACUUCAGCAAUGGUUCACCUAAUUGAUCAUCGAAGCAAGGGCAAUUCCAAUUAUUCAUCAAUAAAUAGGUUAUAACUACCAAACAAGCGAUGGCAGUCAACUCCUCCUUACUGUGUCGGUGAUCAAGGUACGCCCGUUAAUCACUGCUCUAAUUGAGAAAUAAUCCUAGGUACGCCCGUAAGAUUUAAUUUCCCAACUGCCUUACGUACGAGAGGAGCACUAUUCUAACCAAAUAACGCACUACCAGGGUUAUUUCAGAUUAGCCCGCGUAUCCCCCUAACACGAAUCUAAUCGUAUCAGUUGUCACUAUUUCAGGGCAAUUAAACAAUUACGGAUUUAAUACCUCAAUUGACAAUAGAUUAUUAAAUUAACUAAUUAUCCGGAUCCAAGACAAUCAAUUAACUAAACAACCAUAAGCACUGCAACCAGGGAAUAUGCAAAUACCAAUAAAUAAAAGAAAAAGAUAAAAUUAAAUCGAUCUCACAAUUUUUAGGCGACCCAAAACAUCCGUUGUUUCUUGACUAGAAAAAGGGAUUUAGUUCAUCCCUAAUGAGGAACACUCACACGAAGCGGAAGGAACAAUUGCAGCCUUUGUCAUUGACCGGGAAAACUCAAUUCGCUUCAAUAAGGAAAAAGAAAGAACAAAGCUACAGCGAAUGAUUCAUGGUUUCUCAUGGUCUCUGACAUACGAGAAGAAAAUCACUAAGGAACGGAAAAAAUGGAAAAAGUCUAAGUGAAAACCUAAUCUAGAGCUACGAGACAAAAGUCAAAAGCUAAAAAACAAGGUAGUGCUCAAUGUCAGCCAUAUAUCAAUCGUUCCUAUUCUAAUUGCUACUGUGCGGCGUCCGCCGCCCAGCCGAGAGCGGAAAAAGAAGACUUCAGCCUCCCCUUUUUAAUGUUGUCUUCGGGCCAAUUACCAAGAAGGGUCGCGGUUUGAUAUUUCAAAAAUGUCCCUAGAUGCCUGCUACUUGAAUUCUUUUUUGAUAACUGCCAAAUUGACAUUUGUUAUGGUAUUUUCGUUCUACUCGCUGAAAUAAAUACAAAUUGUCAAAAGUGAGUAAAAUCUAACAAUUAAUCCACAUCGGAUCAGGUAAUAGGGAAAAUUAAUUAUAAAAUAAAUGAUAAAAUUGCAACCUAUCAAUUUCCCCCACACCUAAACCAUGCUUGUUUUCAAGCAUGAUAACAGCAAACAAACCGAAUGUUUGACAAAGACUAUUGCCCUACCUACCAUAUUGCCAAGACACCAAGAAAAACAUAUAUCAAGCAUCAAUGGUCAAGUCCAAGAAACAUCACUCCGGUUAGCUUCUAAACCACAAACUCCUCUAAUUUCAGGUUAACUAAUCUAAGAAAAAGGAAUGACGCACAACAUUUAUCAGCAAAUGGUCCAACUAUUAACAAAAAUCUCAAUAUUAAAUUCAUAAAUCGGCAAGCUGACUUUUAUUAUACACUAACACAACUUUCAACUUUUUUUUUCACGUUUUUCUAUUUUUCUUUUUUUUUUCCUUUUCUCAAUAGUAACAAAAGACUUAGUCGCUAGCAAUUGGAGCCUUUUGAUGUGAACUCCAACAUUUUUAGAUGAAGGAGCCCGGUUAUUCAGCUCUUAUCGUUAUACGACCACGUACUCAUAGAAAGUACUACCUUUUUACGCGAGAAUCAACACUUUUAGGUGCAGAUCCCUGGUUACUCAAUAGUAACUAAUAGCGGAGUACAUUCAAGUUUAUUUAUAGCUAGAAAUCAAAAACUCAAUAUAACACAAGAACCAAAAGAAAGCAUGCAUCAGCUAGCCUCAUUUCAAACAUGGAGAACUAAAGUUAAUAAUCGGACCACUUCACAUGAAAAAGCCAACAAUCAUUCCCUAUACCUAGGAAAGUUAACCAAAAAUUAGAAAAGUUAAUCAAUUACUGAUAUUCACCAGAGGGAUAUUUCUGAACUCAACCACAUUAACUUGAUACCCUUUUAUUACUAAAACUCGGCAAUAGCAGAAAUAGAGGCAAUAAUCCAACAUCAAACUUUGGUAUCACUUAUGAGCUAAUCACUAAAAAGGAAGAAAGAAAUUGAACGAGAGGUGGACAAAUAGCAAAUUAAAAAAAAGAAAGCAAAAACAUCUAAAAAAAACUAAAAAGUAGAAAAACUAGCACAACUGCCCCCCACACCUAGAUCCUACAUUGUCCUCAAUGGAGGAAAUAAAGCAAUUAUAGUGAAAAGGACAACGAAACUUCCCUCUCAAGUGGCUACGGGAUAGGCGGGGACGAUGGAGGGAAACCGAUGUGGUGGAAAUACGCGCCCAAGUUCUGAGUCAUCAUAACUCAAUUCAACCAGUAAAUGCAAAACUCUGUCCACCCAAAAUCUCAACAAAGCCUCCAAAUAGACAGUUAAUUUCUCAACUCAAAAGCAACAAUUCCAGUAAUAGCAGUAUAGAAAUUGGAGAAUAACUACACAAUCACAAUCAGGUAGCCAACCAAUUGGAAAUAACAAAUGCUAGUCAAAAUACCCCAACCAGUACCACUGGUGCAAAUCACAGUCCAAAAUGAGAGAAAUUGCUAUAGCAGAACAAAGCAGUAGUAAAUCGACAGCCCCAAGUAUUAACCCAAUCGUAAGAUAGAGAAUGCGCCAGCAACCAAGCAAUAUCAGGGCAGGGCAAUAGUCAUCUAUGUCUCCCAAUUCAUCAGGCAACAACGGCUCCCAAAUUUACAGGUAAAAGUAGACAAAGGUCAACCAGAAUCCCAACAAAUGGUCCCAAUUUGACAAUUAACCGCACACUGUUAACCAACCCAAAAGAAGCAUCAAAUUGAAGUGAAAACAAUCCAACCAGUACCACUGGCGAAAAAUGGAAUGCACAACCCAAUCAAACAGCCCCAAGAAAGAACAAUGCAAUCAAUAAUAACUCAUAAAUUCGACAGUAGCAGAGUAAUUCCAAGUGCCCAGCCUCCAACAGUCAGCCAAAAGAGUAGAAGUGACCCAGUGAAGCCAAAAUGCCCAAACAGUGGAUGAAACAAGUUCAACGGCUAACCCACACUAGUGAGACCUCCCAAAUAAUGUAACUCAAUUCGGACAACAAGCAACGUAUCCACAGGAUUCUCAGUCAAAUCUAAUAAUGAACCCCAGCAUUUCAACUAGAUGCACUGAACUGGAAUAAGCGAUGUAAAUGGUAUAGAAGCCUCCCAAUUUAACAAACAAGUGCAAUAUUUCAACUCACCCAAAUUCUCAACAAAUGGCUCCAGUUGGCCAGUUAAAGUUUUAACUCAAAAUUAGCAAUCUCAAUGAUAACAGUUUAGAAAUUUGACAAUAAUAACUCAGACAACCAAAUGAAGGUACCAAAUUCACGUCCAAUUUACCCCACCAGUACCACUGGUGGAUUCCUCAGUAAAAGAAAACAACUCCGCGUCCUGCUCAAACAAAAGACGACCCCAAACAACACCAAAUACUACUAAGGAGUUGGGGAACGAAUGUCAAAUACCUCAAUUGUUUGAUGGUCAAAAGAAGUGGGAUAGGCACGACUCCUGGCGUGCAUGCGUGAGCGAGAAACAGCGACUGUGGGAGGCGCGGCUUCGCUAGUGGCUUGCGAGGAAGAGGUCGCGCUGCAAUGUGGAGGAAGGUGGUGACAGUCGCUGGAGUGAGAUCGGGGAAGAGGAGACGCGCGGCUGGUUGACUGCUGGAGUGGAACUGAGCGCAGGUGGAGCCUGGGUGGCAGUAGUGGAGCUCGACGGUAGUGGCUGCGGGUGGAGGGUGAGAUCGAGAGGGAGAAAAGCGUGAGCUGCUGGUGGCGCUGCCUGCUGGGCAGAGGCGCGCGAGCUCCAGCAACGGUGAGGGCGGUGUCACGCGAUGGUGGUUGUCACUGGUGCAAGGGCAGAGAAAAGAUGUCACGGCUAUGAAGUGGAGGAGUGGACUGCGCGGAGCAGCGGGCUGUGGCGCGUAGCCAUGGUGGCGUGCGGGCUUGGGCAGCGGCGGCGCACGAUGCUGCGGACGGCGGCGGCCAAUGGGUUUGCUGUGGUGGAGUCGCGGGUGGAGAGAUGGCGGCGGGCAUGAGGUGUGCUCGGCCGACAGAGAGGAAGAAAAAACAAGGGAAGAAAGAAAGAAAAAGGAAGAAAAGAGAGAAGAGAAAAAAAAUGUUUUUUUUUUUUUGAAAUUGAGAAACCUAGCUACGGUUGAAAUUUUUUUUCUUUUUUUUUUUGUUUACAUUUUUUUUUUUUUUGCAAAUGUUAUUUUCGAAAUUCAAAAUUAGAGAUUAACCGAAAAUCAAUAACCGUUCUUGAGUUUUUUUUUUUUUUGAAUACUUACCUUUCCCGCGAAUGUGACGUGGGCACGUUAUGAAGGCACGGAAUCUGGAACUCUCCAUAUGACAUGACACGGGUACAUCAUGAGGGCAGGAACCCCUUCUGACGAUUCUGACUGUGAGCUCUCCAGACGUCAUGACGCGGGCGCGUCAUGACAGAAAGACACCUACAAAUUAUCAAAAACGAAAAUUGAAACCCGAAAUCAAUCAAAUUCAAGGAAAACAUAUUUAAAUUAUCACACGAAAUCAAAAUAAACAAUUAAAAGGAAUAAUUGGGUUGCCUCCCAAUAAGCGCAUUUCUUUAAUGUCUUUGGCUAGACAUUAUCAUGUUUUGCUCAUGGAGGAUAAAAUCUUGUGGCUCGUUUCAAUGCUUCAUCUUCAAUGUGAUCCUGGUAACCCUCAUAGAUGGAGUAAUUUUUGAACACACGAGUUACGGUCUUCCAUGGACUAGUUGAUGGCGCCAAAUAAUCAAGCAGUGAUCUCAAUUUUUCAUCCACUCCUCUAUCAAGAGCACUCAACGGUUCAAGAUAUUUGACCAUAGCUACUUUUAACUUAUUUCUGCCAUGAGACUCAAAAACUUCCGAUAUAACAAAAUCAAUCUCAUUAACAGAAAUCAUGGAGUAAGAGUUAAGAAAAUGUGGGUUAGGUAAUGGAGGUGGUGUCACCAUAUUUGAUGAUUUUUCACUGGAUUCUUUCACUUGAAUGGGUUGCGGUUGAGGUACCAUUUCUUCCUUUUCGGCUUCUUUUUCAACUGCAUCUGUAGAUUUCUCAUUUUGACACUCUUGCAUCUCCUCAUCACUAGUCAAGCAAAUUGCAUUCUCAUUUUCUUCUAGAUCAACAAUGGUUUUCGAGAGCAAUUCUUCCAUUUGAGAAGCCAAUCGAUUUAUUCUGGAUGCCAAUAGACAUGGUUGAUCUGCCAGAUAACUCAUUGCAUCCUUCAUCAUCUCAUUCCUCAUUUGUGUCUCCUAUUGGAAUUGGUAUGUAUUAGUAGCUAUUGAUUCAACUAUUUCUUCAAGAGACAUACCUGACAUAGAUAACGAUUCUUGAGACUCAUAUUGCUGAAAAUUCAUUGGCCCCGUUGUAUAAUUAUAAUUGGAGUUAUCCCACCAUCCUUGAUCAUACCCGUUUAGAUUAGGGUUAUACCACAUUUGAGACCAGGGUGAAAAAUCUCCAUAAUUAUUGAAUGUGACACUCAGAUUAUCUUGAUAUUCGGGGCACAUACCGGUUGAAUGAUCCCUGGCAUAACAAAUUUUACAGGUUGUAGCAGCCAUUCUUUCUCUAAUAGAGUUUAGUGCCUCUGCAUAUGCAAACUCAGAAAAAAAACAAGCCUCAUUGCCUUCCCUGGAAACAAAAUCCAGUCUAUCAGCAGAAUACGGAGUGUUAGAAGCCAUAAACUAUAUAAAAAAAUAAGAGAAAAAUAAAUAAAUAAAUAAAAAACAAGAUGAACUCAAAAAGAAAUAAAUUAAUCUGGCACCAGUCCCCCGCAACGGCGCCAAAAAUUGACAGGGUGUCGAAACCUGUGCAAUAAUAAAAACCUGCUCAAACUAAAAGUAAUUUCUGUAGAUAGUGGUAAGCAGGGUCAAAUCCACAGGGACUGGAAGUAAUUGUUUCUUUUCAAAUUCACAGUGACAAGGAGGUGUUUUUAUGCAGAAGGCGACAAUCAAAGUAAAUUAAAUAAAAUCUAAGAAACUACUAGAAAUUAAAUAACAAAUUACUAAAAUCAAAUGAGUGAUAAUUAAGGAUCUAGCCAAGAAAUAACUUCAGCAAUGGUUCACCUAAUUGAUCAUCGAAGCAAGGGCAAUUCCAAUUAUUCAUCAAUAAAUAGGUUACAACUACCAAACAAGCGAUGACAGUCAACCCCUCCUUACUGUGUCGGUGAUCAAGGUACGCCCGUUAAUCACUGCUCUAAUUAAGAAAUAAUCCUAGGUACGUCCGUAAGAUUUAAUUCCCCAACUGCCUUACGUACGAGAGGAGCCCUAUUCUAACCAAAUAACGCACUACCAGGGUUAUUUCAGAUUAGCCCGCGUAUCCCCCUGACACGAAUCUAAUCGUGUCAGUUGUCACUAUUUCAGGGCAAUUAAACAAUUACGGAUUUAAUACCUCAAUUGACAAUAGAUUAUUAAAUUAACUAAUUAUCCGGAUCCAAGACAAUCAAUUAACUAAACAACCAUAAGCACUGCAACCAGGGAAUAUGCAAAUACCAAUAAAUAAAAGAAAAAGAUAAAAUUAAAUCGAUCUCACAAUUUUUAGGCGACCCAAAACAUCCGUUGUUUCUUGACUAGAAAAAGGGAUUUAGUUCAUCCCUAAUGAGGAACACUCACACGAAGCGGAAGGAACAAUUGCAGCCUUUGUCAUUGACCUGGAAAACUCAAUUCGCUUCAAUAAGGAAAAAGAAAGAACAAAGCUACAGCGAAUGAUUCAUGGUUUCUCAUGGUCUCUGACAUACGAGAAGAAAAUCACUAAGGAACGGAAAAAAUGGAAAAAGUCUAAGUGAAAACCUAAUCUAGAGCUACGAGACAAAAGUCAAAAGCUAAAAAACAAGGUAGUGCUCAAUGUCAGCCAUAUAUCAAUCGUUCCUAUUCUAAUUGCUACUGUGCGGCGGCCGCCGCCCAGCCGAGAGCGGAAAAAGAAGACUUCAGCCUCCCCUUUUUAAUGUUGUCUUCGGGCCAAUUACCAAGAAGGGUCGCGGUUUGAUAUUUCAAAAAUGUCCCUAGAUGCCUGCUACUUGAAUUCUUUUUUGAUAACUGCCAAAUUGACAUUUGUUAUGGUAUUUUCGUUCUACUCGCUGAAAUAAAUACAAAUUGUCAAAAGUGAGUAAAAUCUAACAAUUAAUCCACAUCGGGUCAGGUAAUAGGGAAAAUUAAUUAUAAAAUAAAUAGUAAAAUUGCAACCUAUCAAACAGAUAGGAAAGUUCUAAUAUUUCCUCUUUUCUUUUUUGUGGUAACUUAGGUCAUUCUUUCUUCUUUCGUUUUUUAAUCUCCUAAACUGACAAGCUAAGCCUUAUCUGCUAAAAUUUACAAUUAAAUAUUUUUUUUAGAGCUGCCCUUAAUAUAAUACUCCUUAGCACAAAGAGAGCAAUAAAUAUAAUGGAGAACCAUAAGAGGAUAAUGGAGUAUGUUUUAAAAUUGAAAAUGAAAAUGUUAUGAGUAAUUUCCUUUUAAUUGUACCGCAUUUGUUGAUUUUUGGCAAACCAUAUCAAUUCAGUUGAAAUUCAAUUAGUAAAAUUCUGUACUUAUUAGAAGUCCUAUUCUGACACCCACAUUAGUUCUAAGUAGUAAUGGAAGAGUUCUUAUAUUUUUUUUCCCCACUUCUUGAAGACUGUCUAUAAUUCUUUUGCUCUAUAAGAACAGUUAAUGGCAUUUUUAAGAAAUUCCACACAACGUACACUUCAAGUUUGAAGGCUGACCUUGACUCUCGAAAGUGAAAUCCAUGAAUCAAGACCAGAAAAACUGCAUUAAUAUUGCGAGUCUUCCAGCUUGAGGGCCAGUGUGUUUAAUGGCAUUUCUAAGAAAUUCCACACAACAAUUCUAGUGGAAGACGGAUCUUUGGCUCUCAAAAGCGGAAUCAGAUCAAUUCCAAGUCAUACACAUUAAAACGCGUAUGUCAUGGUGCUCGUUUAACUCUCCAUAUGUAGUCUUUAAAUCCAGACUGUCUACGAGCCUUGAGGCUUUCUGUUCCCUCAGGUAUUGUAAGGCUUGUAGUAUCGGUAAGGUUUUGAUCAUGGUUUUUUUUUUCCCCCCUUUUUGCUCUUAUUGACGAUUGUCUACAAUUCUUUUGAUUUAUAAGAACAGUCAAUACAGCUAAAAGCAGCAUCACAGAUUGUCUACACUUCGAGUUUGAAGACGUAUGGACAUUGACUCUUAAAAGCAAUCAAUUAAUCAAGACCACAAACACUGCAUUGCGCGACUUCCAAAUCAAACCGCAUGCUUUAACUAUCCAUAUCACUGUCACUGAUUUUAAAUGCAGAGUCUUUCAAUCCAGACUACUGUACUUAGAGUGCUUAUACAUUUCAUCUACCUUACGGUCUUACAUUUAUUUUUGACGUGCGGACUUUAACUGCCUGAUGUUCCCUGCUGUAUUGUAAGGCUUGUAGUAUCGGUAAGGUUUUGAUCAUGGUUUGUAGUUUAACCAUGAGUUUAACUUGGAAGGCAUGAUGCCAAAAGAGAUUGUAGAAUCUCUCACAAUUAUAAGUUUACAAUGUGGUAUAGAGUUUCAGAAUAACUAAAUGUCUGCAAUGAGUAGACCACUUUAUUCGAUGUUAAAACAAUUUAAAGAAGAAUUAUCUACAAUUUGUUUUUAAUUGCAAUAAUUAUAAGGUCAUCUAAUCGUAUAAUAAUUAUUAAAACUAUACAUAAAAAUUGUAUAAAAGUGCACAAUAAUAAAUUAUGCAUUUAGUGCUGGACGUAUAUUUUCAUAUACGCAAUAGGCAGAUAAUGUAUACACAGUUUAACUAUCAAAUGAAUGUUUAGUUAACUUGUAAUUCGUAAGGUUAAGAAAAGUUUAAUGUUACGUGCAUAAGAUUUGUUAGAAAGAAAAUAAAAAUAGCAUUCUAUAAUAUAUUUUAUUUUAAUGUUGCAUUGUAGAAAUGGUGGUGAUAAUUGUAUAAAAUUUUAAAACUUUUGUUAGGCAAUUGUGGGGUUAGAGGAAAUAUUACCAAAUUUCAAGGGGUGCAAAAGUGAGGCAACAAUAGGAAAAAACUUUUUAUAGACUAUUCUAAAAUUUCUAAAAAAAAAAAAUUGAGAAGGUCCAAUUGGGCUGGCUAUGGCUCCACCUAUAUAUAUAUAUAUAUAUAUAUAUAUAUAUAUAUAUAUAUAUAUAUAUAUAUAUAUAUUCUCAUGUUUUGCGGAGUGGAUUUUGUUAUCUUUUUGCCAUGUGGCAAACCAAAUUAUAAAUAAAUUGUUUUUUUAUUUUUUGUGGAUUUUAUUUUUGUCUUUUUUUCUUGGCAACCAAUCUAUUAAUUACUUACCUUAUAUAAGUUUGUAUGUUUGUACCUUCUUUAUUUUUUUGUUAAUCAACUCAUCUUUUCUUUUUUUUUUUAAUCCUCUUCAAGCACUUUUUCUAUUUUUAUUAUUGGUUUGAUCAUUCAUGAUCAUUAAUUUGGACAAAUUAUUGGUUUUGAUCAUAAUUGGUGCAUUAUAUCAUAAACAUAAUUCAAUAAUUUCAUGAAAUUAACUUUUAGGGAAAAUGGCCUGUUUCAUCCCUCACGUUUUGCAAAAAUAUUCUUUUUGUCCCUCACUUUUAAAAUGAAGCAAAUUCAUCCCGGAUAUUUAAAAAUUAAAGCUAUUACAUCCCUGAACUUAAUUUUCAAUCUGAAUCAAACCAUCCAAUAACCCAGUAAUAAAUUUCGGAAAUAGAAUUGAUAGAUCAUUCGGUCAAUUUCAUCAUAUUCACAUGACAUUUAUUAAAUCAAAUAAAUAAAAAUUAUAAAAUAAAAGGCCAUUCUUUGUCUUAGAAUAGUAGAGUUUUUUUUUUUGGUAAAUCUUUUUAUGCACCGUUAGUAUAUCCGCUUGCGAAUCUAGAUGUGUAUCAUAAAUAUAAAAUUUGGUGUUCAAAUUUAAAUUAAAAUGAUAUGGCGGUACAUAAAACCGUCAAUGUAUACAAUGAUAAUGUAUGAAAGAUUAAUCUUUCUUUUUUAUGUUAUAAUUUUUUAAUUUUAAUUUUUAGGUUCAUUAAAUUUCACAUGAAUAUCAAGUUGAGUUAACCAAAUGAUCUAUCAAUUACACUCCAAAAUUUGUAAUCAGGUUGAUUGGUGGUUUGAUUCAAAUUGAAAUUUGGGUUCAGGGAUGUAAUAAUUUCAGUUUUUAAAUAUCAAUGACGAAAUUGUUUCAUUUUAAAAGUGAGGGAUGAAAAUAAUAUUUUUGUGAAAUGUGAAGGAUGAAACCGAUCAUUUUUCCUAACUUUUAAAUUAGUUGUUCAUACCAAAAAGCACCACAUGUAUCCUAAAUAAUGUAUGCAUUCCAAAUGUGUCAAUUUUACAAUUCUUAGUAUAUAAUUAUGUUUUGAUCCACAAUAUUAUUAAAAAGUCUUUCAACACAAUAGAUGCAGUCCCAUUAAAGAAGCAGGUUAAGAACUAGUUUAAAUAAAAGUUAAACCAUACAAGAGUAUUUCAUUUAUUGGGUUGGCCAUUGAGUGUCCCAGGACAUGCGUUAUUGAUUAAAAGAGUGUCAGCUGUUUAUAUUUUGGAAAAAGUGUAACUGUUUUUAAAAAAGUGACUGUGUAUUCAUAUUGUAAAUGUGAUUUAAAUGUUUUAACGGGUUUCACCAUUCAUUAAAAAUCCUUAAUACAGUCAUCCUUGAGAGUGCAGCUCCCUUUAUAAAAAAGUCUUCCACGUGAUUAAGCCCCGCAGAAAAGUCUUCUAAGAAAUUUUGCACAACAAUUGCAGUGAACUUGACUCUCAAAUGUGAAAGCAAAUCAAGGCCAGAAAGAACACGUUACAAGCCUUCCUUGGACCCCCUAAGACGCAGAUUGGAAAGACCUUGACUUAAGACUUUAAAUGGUAGCAUUGGUAACGUAGUUGGUUGAAAUAUCAAUAUCGCUCUUACUUAAGCACUAAAACAAAUAAUGGCCUAACUAUCUUGCAUAAAAUCAUAAAGAAAUUAUGUAAAUAAAUGUAAAAAUCACAUGAGGAUAAAGUGAAUAUUCAUGCAAAUUAUAGACGGUUUAACGGACUUUGGGCCAAAAUUUACCAGUUUAGUUGAAGUUAAAUUUAGUAUCUAUACCAGUUAAACGAAUAACCGUGUAAUUAAAUUUUCAAAAUUGGUGUCUAAAUUUUGUCAAGAAAAGAAUUAUUGACAAAAUAUCAAGAAAAGAAUUGCAUUUCGUGUUGCACAUUUUAAUUAAUUAUACUAACAAACAUUUAACUGUACACUUGUUGCCUGAUCUAUUUAGGUAUGCUAAAUCAUUACAGUUUAAUUAAACUCAUAUGUCUUAAUUAGUGUUCACAUGUACGCAAAUGCCCAUAGAAGGCAAAAGAGAUUAAAAAAAAAGGGUUGCAUACCGGUAUUGAAUUACUGGCAUCAAAAUGUACUUUUAAGACCGAAAUAUUACUAAUUUGCUCCCUUUCUGAGAUGCAAUUAGAUACAAUUUGAUUUUUUUUAGAAAUCUGUCCUUAGAAUUUAUAAUUUACUCUUUAGCACAAAGAGCAAUAAUUAGAUUCGACAACCAUGUGAAGAUGAUGGAGUGUGUUUUUAAAAUUUUUUUUUCAAAAAAAAAAAAAUUGUGAAUAAUUUCUUUCCGAUUGAACCGCUUUUGGCAAAGGUUACCAAAUCUAACUCUGAUUUUUUCUCAAAAGUGGAAUCAACUCAGGACCACAAAUGCUGCUGACUGCACUGCAUUGCGAGUCUUCCAAAUUAAAAUGCCUGUAUCACAUUGCUUUUAACAAUCCGUGUGAAAGAAACAGAUUGGAAAGACACUACUGGCUUGACUCCAUUUUAAGUGCGAGUCUUUCAAUCAGGGCGGGCGGAGGGCGCUUACUUUUCAUCUAUCUUAUCUUAAUUACGGUCUUUCAUAGUACUAUAGCAUCGAUGGAUGUUGUAUGCAGCGGAGUUGUUCUUCUCAUGAUACUGGCUAUUGCACCAGUUGCAAUAGCAGCAAAGGAGUCUGCUGUGAAUUUAUUGGAAGCUGAGGCACUGCUCAAGAGGGGCUGGUGGCGAGGCAGUACUGCUGCAACAAACAUUUCUGCCUACUGCCAGUGGCCUGGUAUCAUUUGCAACGAUGCUGGUAGUGUUACCGAAAUACUACUUCCGGGCUACGGAAUUCAAGAUGACUUGACAAAUUUCAGCUUCUCUUCUUUUCCGAACCUGGUUAGACUAGAUCUCAGCGAGAAUAAACUUCACGGCGCCAUCCCACAUCAAAUAGGUGCACUCUCCAAACUCACCCAUCUCAAUUUGUCUUUCAACAGAUUUGAAGGUGAGCUCCCGUCUUCUCUAGUAAACCUUACGCAACUAGCACAGCUCGAUGUUUCUUGGAAUUCGAUUGACAGCUUAAUUCCUCCGGGUAUCGGAAACUUGACAAACUUGGUUGCUCUAGACUUGAGCCACGAUUUUUUUUUUGGUCCAAUCCCUCCAACUCUUGGCCACUUGUCCAAAUUAGCCUCUCUCGAUCUCAGUGGCAAUGGACUUAAGGAAGACAUCCCACAUCAAAUAGGUACACUUUUCAAACUCACCUAUCUCAAUUUGUCGAAUAAUUUUAUCGAAGGCUUUAUUCCCUCCUCCAUCGCAAACUUGACAAAUUUGGUUACUCUAGACCUGAACAACAAUUCUUUUUUUGGUCCCAUCCCAUCCAUCCUUGGCCAAUUGUCCAAUCUAGAUUUCCUGAACCUCAAUAUUAACCACUUCAGUGGGAUAAUCCCUCCAGCACUUUUUAAUUUGACAAAGCUUUCCCGGCUAUACAUUGGCAGGAAUCCCGCAAUAAGGGGAGUUCUCCUUGAAGAAAUAGGAAAUUUGAAGAUUUUACUUGAAUUAGACUUGAGUUACAAUGGUUUUUCUGGCAACAUCCCUCCAACCCUUGGCCAAUUAUCCAAUCUAGCCUCCAUUAACCUCAACAAUAACCACUUCAGUGGGACAAUUCCUUCAGCUCUUUUUAAUCUGACAAAUCUUUCCCGACUAGACAUUCACUCUAAUCCUGCAAUGGGAGGAUUUCUCUCAGAAGAAAUAGGAAAUUUGAAGAGUUUAGUUAAAUUAAACUUCAGUGGCCUUAAUCUUUCAGGUGCCUUUACUUCAGCUCUUUGUCGCCUAACCAAACUAGUAUCUCUUUCAGGUGCUGAGAAUCAAAUUCAUGGUUCCAUUCCCUCUGAAAUAGGAAAUUUGAAAAAUUUGAAAUAUCUUUUCUUCGAGUCCAACCAGCUGACUGGUCAAAUCCCUCCGACCCUUGGCAGUCUGACUACUCUGAUUUAUUUGGACCUCUCUUCUAACCAAAUAAGUGGUUCCAUACCUCUUCAACUUUCCGUUAUACCUUCUCUAAAAUUUUUAGAUCUUUCCUCAAACCAACUUAGAGGUCCGAUUCCAUUUACAUUAAAUUUGGACACCUGGUCUAGAUUGAAGCAUUUAUAUCUACAAAACAACUCUUUGAGUGAUAUUUUUCCAUGGAAAAUUCUAGAUCUCCCUUUGUUACAGACAGUGGACUUAAGUCGUAACCGCAUUAGCGGAAAGAUACCAACCCAAUCGGAGUGGUACCUUUCGACUUUGGAUCUUUCCCACAAUAUUCUCUCUGGCACUGUCCCCUCGUCUCUUUCUCGACUGGGGGACGUCGACCUGUCCUAUAAUGCUUUGGAAGGUGAACUUCCGUGUGAGCUUGUCAAUAAGUUUGGUCCAGGAAGUUUUGACGGCAAUCCAGACUUGCAUUACACUUCCGCUCUUUGUGGUGCAUCUCCUCCUGUUAUGAAAAAUCACAGACAUCACCCCCCAUACUACAUCAUAGGUCAUGGCGUGUCCUUGUUGGUGUUCUCAUUAAUUGGCGGAUUAGUGCUUUAUAUCUUCUGCAAAACCAAAGUCAAGAAAGUGGAAGUUGAGCUGAUGGACAAUAAACAUGGAGACAUUUUCAGAAUAUGGAACUACGAUGGACAUAUGGCUUAUGAAGACAUAAUUAAAGCAACAAACGAUUUUGAUGUCAGUUAUUGCAUCGGGACAGGGGGGUAUGGUUCUGUAUACAGAGCGCGGUUGCCAAGUGGGAAAGUAGUGGCUUUGAAAAAGCUUCACCGUUUGGAAGGCGAGAAUCCAAAUUUUGACAAGAGCUUUAGGAACGAAGCCGACAUGCUAUCUAAAAUCAGGCACAGGAACAUUGUAACGCUCUUCGGAUUCUGCCUGCACAAGCGAUGCAUGUUUCUGAUUUAUGAGUAUAUGGACAGAGGAAGCUUGUUUUUUAUCUUGAGAGAUGAAACCGAAGCUGUGGAGCUGGAUUGGAUUAAAAGAGUGAAUUUGAUCAAGGGCAUUGCCAGUGCAUUGUCCUACUUGCAUUACGAUUGUGAUCCGCCAAUCAUUCACAGGGAUGUAUCAAGCAACAACAUUCUUUUGAAUUCACAGCUCGAAGCAACUCUUUCUGACUUCGGAACCGCGAGGAUUUUGGAACUUGAUUCAUCAAAUCAAACAGUCAUUGCAGGCACCUUUGGCUACAUGGCACCAGGUAGGUUGCCUUGCUAUCCCAGAUCCCUUUCUGCUUUUCACCUUGUUUUUCAUAUUUUCUUGAUGCACAUAUUAGGCUUAACUUUCAAGGACAGAAAAGAAAAAAAUUCUUCCAACUGAAACGAUUAAUUUUUUUUUUUGGAAUAGUAAGUCUGGAGUUGUCCCAUUUGAGAUUAACUUUAUUUGUAUCCAAAUAUAGACUUACUUGUCAAUGCAGAGCUAGCCUAUACCAUGGUGGUCACUGAAAAGUCCGAUGUGUAUGGCUUUGGAGUUGUGGUGCUGGAAACGCUGUUUGGAGAGCAUCCACAAGAAUUCCUUUCUUGCAUAUCAUCACAACCCAAUGAACCAAUAAUGCUGAAGGAUCUUCUUGAUUCCCGUCUGCCCCCUCCGACUAACCCUUUGGUGGUUCGAAAUGUGGCUCUCGCGACAGCGUUAGCCCUGGAUUGCGUCAACGCAAACCCGAAAUGUCGACCAACAAUGCAGCAAGUGGUGAACCGAUUUGAAGCGGGCAGGCGAGAACCAACUAGGCCUUUGCACACCAUUGCUGUGAACCAGCCUGUUAGUCCACCAGUACUUUCACUGCCUGACCAAACCCGCGCAGAUGGGACGAGUAGCCUAAGCACCAUAAAUGAAUUCCAUGUGGAUAUCUCUGCGACUCUGCCAUCAUCCAAUUUUUCUAUCCAUGUUUCUACCUAAACAACUUUGACAUUUGGUAGGAAACAGAAUAAGAUCGUGCUUUGCAAAAUGGAAACUUGACCAAGCACUUAGAUUGCUGC
Molecule: long non-coding RNA, 66855 nt
Filed under: Coffea arabica (coffee)
Lineage: Eukaryota; Viridiplantae; Streptophyta; Magnoliopsida; Gentianales; Rubiaceae
Description: long non-coding RNA (CARA_LNC004569)
Source: RNAcentral